RNAcentral lists this long non-coding RNA (55140 nucleotides) under Hordeum vulgare. RNAcentral's name for it is "long non-coding RNA (HVUL_LNC011821)". The stretch from base 6082 to 6153 matches the Rfam family "tRNA". The record is from RNAcentral. Lineage: Eukaryota; Viridiplantae; Streptophyta; Magnoliopsida; Poales; Poaceae.
CCCUCCCCCUUCCUCCUCCUCUUCCUCCUCCGAUUGGGUGGCUGCCAUUGCUCUCCAGAGUCUCCAAGCUCCAGCUCCCACUUCACCACCAUUCCGCUAGCCAGAGUCUCCCUCUUGAUCCCACCUCGGCUUCGAGUCUCGCAGUCCUCGUCCCGGUCUCUCUCUCUUCUACGUCCGUCCGAGAAGAAUUUCUUUGGGUUGAGGAGGGAGCUGCUGUUCUUGCUAGGCUGGGCUAGGCUAGAUCUGGGGGGAGAGGGUUGGUCGUUGUUCCGCGUGAAAUAUCUGGGGUUUUGCUGCGCUGGAGGUUCUUGCUGGCCAUGGUUUGUCCAGGCAUGCUGAGGCGCAAUCUCUGAGCUUUAUGAAGAUCGCUACUCACCUGCGCCGGUGCUGCUUCCUCCAGUCCUUCUCCGUCGUCUUCCUCUACUACUUUUAUGUGAUCUCAUAAUUGGCCCCUCUCUGAAAUCCGACCUUCCUACUAGUAAAAUCUUUUCUUCUUCUUCUUCUUCUUCUUCUUGCUUCAAUUUCCUGCUUCAACGAGUGAUAAAUAAGAACGGUAGCAGCAGUAGUAGCCAGGUGGUAGUGAUCUCGGUGCCAAGAUGUCGUCGUCGUCGCUGUCGCCGGGAGGAGGCGGGAGGCUGUCGGGCUCGGACGGCGACUCGGGCGCGACGUUCGCCGCCGGGGACAACCGGCGGGAGAAGAGGCGGCUGUCGAACCGGGAGUCGGCGCGGCGGUCGCGGCUGCGGAAGCAGCAGCACCUGGACGAGCUGGUGCAGGAGGUGGCGCGUCUCAAGGCCGAGAACGCGCGCGUGCUGGCCCGCGCCAACGACAUCACCGGCCAGUUCGUGCGCGUCGACCAGGAGAACACCGUGCUCCGGGCGCGCGCCGCCGAGCUCGGCGACAGGCUGCGCUCCGUCAACCAGGUGCUCCGCGUCGUCGAGGAGUUCAGCGGCGUCGCCAUGGACAUCCAGGAGGAGUGCCCGCCCGACGACCCCCUGCUCCGACCGUGGCAGAUCCCCUACCCUGCCACCGCCAUGCCCAUCGCCGCCACCGCCACGCACAUGCUCCAGUACUGAUCCAUCCAGUCAUGAUUGGGUCAAUAAUUCAAGAUCCCCCCUGUAGGAGCUGAGCUGUGGCUGGCAAGAGGAAGAAAACCAAGAAGAGCCGUACUGCUCUCUGCUCUGCUCUGCUCUACUCUGCUUGGCUGCUGCCUUGAGGAUUAUUACCAAAGGCGUAGUUGCUGCUAUAUGUUGUGUUUAUUAUUAUGUUUCAGUAAGUGUCUGUCGUCGUCCAUCUCCUAUGGCUAUUUUGUAACAGUAAUAAGGGUAAUUAUAUGCAUGGUUGUGUUCUAUGUAUCGUGAAUUUGUCAUGAACUAUGCCAUAUGUUAUCAUGUUUGGUUCCGGUCUUCAGUGUAAAUUCUGCUGUGUUUCAAGCAAUAAUAACUCUCUCGAGUGCUCGAUGAGAUUUGACGACAGUAUACAGAUGUUGGUUUCUUGUUGAAUGAAGAACAGUUUGGCCGGUUUUCUGAGCUCGCACCAAAUCAUAUAAAUCUGUGGGCUCAUAUCAAAAUCACAAAUAAGCUGGGAGGCAUCGAAUCAGCUUUGAGUGGAGAGGAACAUCAAGUGCUCAAAAGCAGAGAAAGAUCUUCAGUUUCAAGGUUCCUCCUACAGGAUUCUGUCUGACAGCUCUCUGUUCUGUUCUGUAUUGUUUAUUUUCUUGCAUCUAUUCCAACCUUUGCAAGGCAAAAGCAAGGUGACAAGAAUCAAAUGCUGUACUCAUGUUCCCUCCAAAAAAAAUAAAAAUAGUAGAACUCAUGUCACAACCAUCAUAAGAUAUGUGUUGCAACAAGGAAGAAACAGCAUGUACAUCAUCACCUUUGAUCGGUAAUCAAGCAAUAAUGGUUAAUGACGGAAGUGUAAGCAAGCAGAACGAGAUCCGUCAUCAGAAAACUACACUCGUGACCGCAUACGAAAACGACGGUGAAAGGCAAGGGAAAACCUUAAAAACUUAUCUUGACCGAACCAAAUGACAUCACCAAAUAGAACAGCACCAGUAAUGAUGGUGCUUGUUCCAUUCACGAUAAUAUCAAACAUAAGGGGUAGCUUGUUAGGCAUCCCACCAUUGCACUCAGCCAAAAGGGUGAGCUCACUUCCGAGAGGAUGACAGUGAAACCUAAAUAAAUCAUGUUCAUGUCAGAGGGAAGCCAUCCAAUCCCUGAAUUUGUUUGCAACAGAUAUGAGACAAAGACAUAUUUGAUAUGACGAGAAACUAAAUUCAAAACGGUUCAAUGUUCUCAAAUGGUGGUGUGCUUAUUUUCAUGACAAUCUCCACAGCAAUCACUCUGUCAUGCUCUCCACGGAGUUUCACAAAUUACUGGCAAAACCGAAAUGGCAAAAGACUUCGCGAUGUAGAACUUCUGGUUCAGCACGUCAGAACUACUCCUCAACAACGACGCUGAUCUGCCCCUUCUCGAGCAUGUCGUAGAAGGAUCGGGUCUUCCUCUGCUCGUUCCAGUGAUGCAUCUUCCACAUACCACCAGCAACCAGCCCAAGGGUGAGUCCAAUGAAGAUCUCCUUCACCACGCUCGGCCCCUUGAGGGUCGCAUGUGCAACUCUGCCGCCUGCCAUCUGCUAGCUGUUGGGCUCAGAUGCCAAAAUGCCUGCAGAAAAUGGGAAGAUUCCGUGAGCUGAUUUCAUGGGAACAUGGUGACAGCAUAUCAUCACCAAGGCAGCAGCAAGAUACUUUAAAUAAGUGCAGGCAGGCAUGUGCAAACAACACAAAACAAUGAGGCCAUGAUAUAUGAUUUUUCAUGGCGUCCAAAGGUCACUUGGGUUAAUUGCACAAAAACAAGUCAGUACAAUUUUUCAAGAAGUAACCGAGUUGAGACCGGAAAAACUAAAAUAUGAACCAGGAACUUCCAAGAUUUUGAGUUGUAGAAUUAGUGGACUCAGCUAUGUUAAACCAGCAUGAUUCACAAACAGUAAAGUACGAUAAACAGGCUCUGAUUCCUCAAACUGCUCAGCAAAACCUCUCUAGAGAACAGUAGUAGUUGCAAAAAGAGUCAACUCCCUGCAUUUGCACCCUAGUAUCAUACUAUUCCACCGCCCAACUUUUAAAAAAGGUAUCUUAAGCUGGAGCAGGAAAAAAAUGUGAUACAAUAAAUCGUUCCAUCCUCAGCAUCAAUCAUUGCUUCUUUCAAGAACAAAAAAUGCAUGCAGUGUACCCUUCACCUAACCUGCCACUCAUGCACAGAGGACACAGCGGUCGUAGUCAAUAAAGCAUAAAUGAGGCAAAGCAAUUAGUUGGGAGGAACUUCCUUAUCACCCAUCAUCAGAUUAACCAUAAAUUAUCAACAUCCUAGCAAAUGCAACAAGCACCACUCAAAUUAUGCAUUGUUUCAUACGAAGCACUCGGCCAAAAGAAGAUGGACAAUAACAUUAGGCAUGUAGAAGGCAGCAUCAUAAUUGUAACAACAGGUCAUUUUCUUCAACAAAAUACAUAUUUCAAGAGUUAUGAACUCCUAAGAUCAGUCAAGAAGCAGAUUCACUCAAAUGCAAGAAAUCACAGAGAAAAUAAACAAAUCUUUUCCAGUAAAUAAAGUACCCACAGAAAAGGAAAUACAUUGUAUACUUGAUCAGAUCUAUGAUAAGUUUGCACUUGGGGUGACUUACUUUGAACAUAGCCAUCUUUAUCAAUAAAAGAACUUUUCCGCUUUGGGAUACUGAAAGGACAUGAAUCUAGCUAACAUAUACUAUUGAAUAUAAGCCAAACCAAGUAAUCAAAAUAGAUGAGUUCUACCAACACGGCAAUAUGAUUGUGCUGAUACUUCCAUUAAGGAACCCAUAUCGCCACACCAGCUGAAACCCCACUCACAUAGACCAAUGACAUUUUAUAGAGCACCAUAUCAACAGGUUAUUUCCAAUGCUGAUAACCCACAAAACAUAUAAUGUUACUGCUGAUAGCACGACAGUUGCACAUAUGAAAACAUAUGCAGAUAUAAGACAGUGCCUAUGACAGAUGAAAAAUCUCAUAAGAGUUUGCUGACAUGAAAUGAGAAGACAAUGUACAAUUGUGAUGUGCUAAGUGUAGCGGAGAGAAAUUAUAGGUGCUCUAAAAUUAUCAACUAACUAGAAUCAUCAAGACAGCGCACAUUCACGCAACACCACUCAUUCAUGUGCAUGGCAAAGUCGAAGAUAUAUAUCUGGAACUACACAAGUCACACCACGAUCACUGAGCAUGAUGCAGGUUGCUGAGCAAAUAGAUGACAAAGUUCAUAAACGAUCCGGGAUGUUAGAAGCUACGACAGUGCAUAGAUGGUAUAUCUAACUUCAUAUGUGGAAUAGACGAUGACACACUAGUUAACAUACAUAAUGUGCUAGCCAGGGAUUGCACCGAGCCAAACCAUCCAGAGGCAGCAGCGAUGGCACCACGCCAAAGGAUACCUCCUAAUUCCCAGAUAUAUCAUCUGAUACAUACAUAUUCACAUCUCAUUGGAGCGAACGAUGUUUCUUUCUUAGCCACCAUUUCCCAAUCCAAACCGCAUAUAGGCCUAUGAACAAAAACAUCGCCAAAAGAUAGCAUCGGAUGGGGACAACGCACGCCAUGGUUACGAACACAUGCCGUAUUCACACGAAGAAAAAAUACCCCCCACCCCCCCCCCCCCCCCCCCAAAACAACCCCCCCCCCCCCCACGCGCAAAUCAGACGCAUCCUGCUCCCCUAGAUCAUCGCGUGCCAUCCCAAAUUUCUAGUUCGCCGGCCGAUGCCGUCAACAGCACCACCAGCGAAAUGGAUGACCGAGGCACCGAGCGACCAGAUCUGGAACGGUUCCUAACGAUUUAGAGGGGGAAACCUAGGAUCGGAUCAGCGAGAAGGUCGCGUAGGAAUCGAUUCGUGCGUCAGGACACGGAAACCCGAGGGAUCGAUUGAAUGGAGCAGGUUCGAGCGGCGUGGGAAGAGGGGUCUGACCUUGCCGCCGCCGGAGGAGAAGAGGGAGAAAGACGCCUGCGCCGCCGGAGGAGGAGAGGGAGAGAGAGGCCGAUUUGUUACGGGGAACGGCGUUUUUGCGGAAACGCCCAUUUAAGGGCUGAGAUUCGCGGACGGGCCCGGUCCACACGGGUGGUCUGAGCGAGUGGAUGGAUGGCCCUUCGUCUAUUUUCUCCCUCUGUUCCAUAAUAUAAGUCUUUUUAGAGAUUCCACUAGAAGACUACAUAUUGAUGCAUAUAGACAUACUUUAGAGUGUAGAUUCACUCAUUUUGCUUCGUAUGUAGUCCCCUGAUGAAAUCGUUUAAAAGACUUAUAUUUAGGAACGGAGGGAGUAUGUUGUUAUUUUUCACCGAGCAACCGACCGGAACACUGCCUUUUCAUCAGUUAGAAUUAGAAAGAAUAAAACUAUGUACAAAUGGGAUAUUUAUGGAAAAGAUAUAUGUUGAAAAACUCCCAGAAAAAAAAACAAUCCCAAGCUAACUACUCCCUCUGUUUCUAAAAAUAAGUCUUUUUAGAGAUUUCAUUAGGGACUACAUACGAAAUAAAAUGAGUGAAUCUACACUUUAAAGAAUAUCUAUAUACAUCCGACUUAUAUUUAGAAACGGAGGGAGUACUCAUGAUUCAUGAAGAUGGAAUACUCUAGGUCGGAAGGACGUGCCCUGGUGUUUGUUAUCCUCAAAAGUAAGAUGCUUCACCUUAAGUCCUUAAUGUGUGUUAAACUUGUCACGUUUAAAACCUGUUGAUUUCGUUUUUCAUGCGUUUCACAUGAUGUCCAUUCCGCCUCUUCUUGUGCUUAUUGUCAAUGUACCACAAAAGUACCGCCCCCACCAAACGUUGUGGUUCAACGCCUCAGUCAGAGGAAUGUGGUCGUCGGUCCAAGAAAGGACCAAGUGGUGGACAAUAGUGAUGAAGGGGCAAAAGGCAAAGCACAAUUUGAACCGUCCGCAAAGCAGAGUUGACAGAUAGGCUCAUGGAGCCAACCUUGUUGCUCAAGUCGGUCGGCGGUCAGAAUUUUUGUGUGAAGUACAAGCCAUUUGGCUUUUCUAGAUUUCGUAGGACACCUAUUGAUGUUAAAAUAAAUCAAACAUAUCACGCAAUGGGCAUUUGGUCUAGUGGUAUGAUUCUCGCUUAGGGUGCGAGAGGUCCCGAGUUCAAUUCUCGGAAUGCCCCCAAUUGUUUUUAUAUUUUUUAGCCAUCGUAACACAGCUCCUUCAGAUUUACGAAAGUGAGAAUUGUUUGUGUCUUUUGUUUCUCGCUUCCACAAACACCAAUUCACCAGGCUUUACAGAAAGAAAACUCACCAGGAAAAAUAAAACUGUCUUUGUUUGCUGUCUUUCUAUAUGUAUCUGUAUAAUAUCUACUUAGAAAUCAUCCGGUAACAUCACUAGUUCAGUACAUCUCAACGGUGUAGUAAAACAAACUGGUGCAGUACACGAUAAUCUUUUACGCACAGAGCUAUGUGUAACUAUUUUGUAACUCGCUUAUUGGACCGACAAACAAAUUUGCAUCACCGGGACUGGCCGUCCUCUCUUAUUCUGAAGGUGCAUGAACGAAUGCGGCUGCGAAAAAAAGGAGCAAAUCAAGCGCUCCCGCGGACAGCUUUGUAGCACUCUAGGCUGCAGAGGGGGAGCUUCAGCUUCGAGUCCCUGUACCGGUACGCGUUCGUGCAAGACGGUCCGGCGCACUUCUCACGCGGCGGAGGGUAGCUGGGUGGUGGAAGGCAAAAGUGAGACGAUGUAAUCUGUGGCGCACAUUUGGUGCGGCUGAUUUCUCGAACAUGGGGAGGAAUUGCAAGUAUUGGUUACCUGCAGGGUUUGGAGUUGAAGAUACUUGGGAGGCCUACAUCUUCAGGGAACGUAACCACCGUGCCUGUGGGCCCCAUGACCCACCGGAUAGAGCUCCUGGCAAGUUCUUGCGCUCUGGCUGCCUUCUCCUGAGUAAAAAGGAAUGACACUGUCAGAAGAUAAUUCAGAAGAUGAUGGUAGUAGAGACGCGAGUGUCAUGGGCAUGAUCAAAUGAUGCAAUGAACCUUCUCCUCUCGCUCCUUUUGCUUCCUCUCUUCUUUCUUCUUCUCGGUGUCCAGGCCCAGUAUUUUCCUUAUAGCUUCAGCCUGCAGUUAACACUUUUGAGAACUCCUAGGAACUCAACCUAUUCCAGGAAGUUUAAAAGAGAGUAAGCAAAUGUUUCUCCAACCUCGCUUUCUUUAGUGGCUUUCUCCACUUGCAUCUUGCGCCGCUGAGCAGCCUCCGCCUUCUUCGCCAGCAUCUCUGCAUCAGAGAGCUUUUCCUUCUUGCCUGGAGCCACAGAAAAAUGUUUCAAAUUAAAUCAGCGCAAGACUUCAGUCAAGUUACAACAGGCAACAAGGUAGUAUGUACUUCUUGACGAAGCUGCCGGUAAACCAUCGGGGAACUCAAUGGUACUGUUGCUGUUCCCAUCCAUCCAUGAUUGAAGAGCUCGGCGACGUGUUGUGAGAGGUUCACUCUUAACACUGGCAGACAAUUCAGUGACUGCCUUCUGCUUCUUGUUUUCAGCUUCAAGUUCGUUAUCAGAGGCCAACUCCUCUUCUGCAUUAUCCUCAUCAGCAUCAGUAGAAUCUCUUGACCUUUUCUUGCCAUCUCUAUUUGAUUGGGGUCUAACAAAAUCAUUAUCAACCUCAUAAACAGUGCUCCUGCCCCGGUCUUUCUUGGAGGCAUUCUUCUUAAGGUUACUCCCUCCUUUGUUUUUAGGUUCACGAAUAUGACCCUCAUUAUCAUUAGAAGCUCCAUGGUUUUCAGGAGUACUUAAACCAUAUUCCUCGUCUAAUUCACUGUCCAAGUUGGAUUUCUUAGCUAUCCUUCUACUCUUCCGGACAGGAUCCGAAGACGCUUCUCUCUGAACUUUGGCAGGUUGUUCCGGAGUCAAGGUAUCUUCAAUUUUCCUCAGCUUUCUUGUUUUCUUGUCUUGAGAAGAGGGCAACCUAUUUGAAUCUUUGACACCUUCAGUCUGAAAGUAAUUCAUCGUUUUUAUUGGGUAUCAAUUAUGAAUAGCAAUUUGAAGCAAAUAAAGGGACAAGACGUGCGGAAAACCCACAUAACAGAAUGACUUGCAAAAUACUCACUUUGUUUUUAUUUACUCUGCAUAUUAGAUUUAUCUCAAGUCAAAACUUGUAAACUUUGACCAAGUUUAUAUAAAUUUAUUAACAUCCACAGUACCAAAUAAAUACCAUCAGAAUUCUCAUUGCAUAUAUUUAUGCAUCUUAUAUACUAUUUGUUAUUGUGAAAGUUUAUAUUAUUUUCUAUAAAUUUGGUCAAACUUUAUACAGUUUGACUUAGAUCAAAGCUAAUAUGCGGCGUAAAUAAAAAGGGAGGGGUAUAAUCAGAAGUUCAGAACAGGUAUAGUGCCAAGAUUAUGAGACAAAAGAAAUAUCUUGACAGAAACUGCAUGUGUAUGUCCUGAUAACACCAACCAGUUUUCCUUGCAGAACUUGAAUUUAGCAAGCUAGCAAAUUUUCUUCUGUCCAGUCAAGAUCCUUCUUUUCAGGUUUCAAGUACACUACGAAACAAAAGACACUGAUCACUUGUUGUUUACCUGAUUACCAUGCUUUUGCCGGUGCAAUGAAUGUCCUGGCCGUGUAGACUUUGCAGCUGAAGACCUGGAAUCUGGUAUGGCAGGGUUUGGUUUUGCCGGUAUGGUCCGACUGAUUCCACCAAUUUUGAGUUUCACUUUCCUUGGUUUCUGUGUGGUUGACAAAUCAUCAUUCCCUGCCGACACAUGUAUCCCAUGAUUGCUUUCACCCUUUCUUGAGUUACUUCCUGAAGCCUCAGAAUGCAACUGGUGGCUCCCCUUGCUCUUAUGUGAGUUUUUCAAGUUUGGAGGGGACAGAACACCCUCGGUGAUACGCUUGGAAGCACGGUCCAGGGAAGGUCCAUUCAGAUAAAACUCUCGACGUCGGGGUCCUCCGUCAGAGGCAACAUUGUCAUCUGAGGGCAGCCUCUUUGAAUUACUCCUAGAUGACAUAGAUGACAUAGAUGACUACUUCACAGCAGGAUUGCACUCUGGCCUGGGUCUCCUCGUUGUGCUGGUCCAGUGGAUAUUCUAACCAAAUAAGACAACACACAUAAACAAAAGGCAUGUCUUUACUGGAAAUGUUGAGUGUAAGUCGAAAAUGUUGGGAAAAUAUAUUGCAUGAUGCCUCUUAUGACUACAGAAUGUGAAGCUGGCAUCACCACAAUGCUGCAAGCUCAAAAAUAAUGGUACUUAUAGGGAAGGUUAUUAAUUUACAAUAAUAAUAAUAAUACACAUAUUAUUUUUUAAUGGCUCGUGCCUCCUUUUCUUUUUGACUAAAAAAUCUAGCGGAGGCCCCAACAACUAUGCAAAAGAUAGCAAAACUCAUGUAGGUAAGAUUCAGGACAAGAAGCAAACCCAGGCCUUGAAUGGUGCCUUAGCUAUUCUUAACUAGGAUUUCAAGGAUGUAAGGUCAGGGACAACAAUGUCAGAAAUCUUUGCAUUUCUUAGCUAGCAAACGUUCCAAACAGCGAUGGUGAGUACCACCAUGAAGUGUGGCAUGUGGAAAUGAGAAUGACCAAGGUUAAAGGACCACUCCAAGAGUUGGGCCAGACAAUGCUAAUAGCUACUGUUAUGUGUACGCAACUUAAAUAAAACUUUACAUGGACAUGGAACGCGGUUAGAAUUUAUUACCAUCACCUAUCUUUAAACUAGAGUUUAUUUCUAGAGUAAAAUCCAUUCACGGUACUCAAACUUAUACCAGGAGUUCACUUUGAUCACUGCACAUAAGAAGCUAGUCAAUACGGCUAUGUACACAUCUUGAUGAUUAUACGGUCACCGCCUGAACUUAUAGCUCGUAUUUUAUCUAAGUUGACCGGCCAACUCUCCACCCCACGCAGGUCCCACCUGUCAGUAAUUGUAAGAAAGUAAUAAAGAGAAGAAUAAAAAUUUGCUUCAGUGCGGAUUCGAACACAAAACAUAACGGCCAUGUUCGCACGAGACAGCCUACAGACCCAACACGCUUUCUACUACACAUUAGAGCGACUUGCUUUUUAUUCGUAUAUAAGAACACACGCAUGCACGCAGACCACGCAUCAUGACCGCACGCGCACAUAGGCAUGCACCGGUGGUGGCCUGACACAGGCACGCACGCGAGCAUGACGCGCACACACACAAUCGCAGUCUCUGAAUUUUAGAAUUAUUUUAGCCCGAGAUUUUCAAACGAAUUUUGAAAUUCAAAAUUAUUGAUUAAAAAAAAUCAAAAAUAUUUAGCGCAAAUUAUGUUAUGUUGAACUCAAAUUUUGCAUGAACUACUUGAUGGUUAAGUGGUCAGCAUGAGUUAGUUACUUAUUAUCGAUGGUGGCGAGUUCGAAUUUUUUAAUAUAACGCACAACGGCCAGUAUUUUUUAUGCUCAUAUAACGCCAAAAAGAAAAUGAAAAUUGCAAGAUAGUGCCUCAAACUUAGGCCGCCAAGAUGAUAGGCUGCGUGUCCUACGGCUAUGCCAAUUGCUGAGUUAUGUCAAAACAUGUAUAUGAAGCAUAUUUGACAUUGCUUGGUCGUCUAAAUUAAAAAAAUGCAAAUAUUUUGGCCGGUCCUAAAAGAAAAAAACUAGUGACAAUCACCCAACACACACAGCCGAGCCCGAUGCACGCACACAUGCAAAACCAGAGCGAGCAACCACAUGAACAUAAAAAUACCUGGUGGUAAAACUGAGAUACACAACAAGUCAGCAACAAUGUUAAAAGAAACUCAACGGUGUAUCCCUUAUCAAAAUUUGUAGAAUGGAAUAGUUGAUCAACAAAUUAAUACAUUUAAGAACAUGUCGCUAAACUUAGUUAGAGUUGUGACUUGGAGUAGAAUAAAUCCGAUGCUCUCCCCGCUCAUGUUCUCCCCCCUCAACCUCAAGGAUGAAGAACAGUCUCAUGAAUAAGUUGUCAAUAGUCUCAAUAGAAAAAAAUCAUGAUAUAUGUACUGCAUGAUGUUGAUUACUUGAAUAAAAGUCAAACAGAAAAAUAUAUUAUUGCACACAAAUCAAUCACCAGUAACUCAAUUCAUGAUGAACCUAGCAAGAAAUGAAUCCACAAAGUUGAUCGUCCUUGAAUUCCUAGCAAGCAACUUGUAUUGACACCUUUAAUUUUAUUCACGAACAAGCAAAAAGUGAAACCACAAAGUUGAUCAUUCUGGAGAACCUAGAAUAUUAUUAGCUGACGAAAAUUACAAAAGAUCAGGACCCACAACUUGUUUAGACACUCUUAAUUUUGUAAUAAGCAGCAUAACAAUUGUUUUUUAGCUACUUCCCAAUUGUAACAUAUCUUCUUCACAAAUGCAACAAUAAACUUGUUUAGCUACUUUACAAUUGUAACAUAUCCUCUUCACAAUUAUAAUAAUAAUGUAAUAUCAAGUUCAGUCAGCAUCAGGUGAUUAGCUACAAUAACGUAAUGGAUAGGCAUCAGGUACUUUGUACUGAUUAACACAACUGAAUUAUGGGCAAAAAUUACGGUGGUAAAGGACAAUAGGAAUGGUUGGCUAGUUAGCUGCAGUGCAGAAAAUAACAAUAGCAAUGUUACAAGAAACUCAAUGAUGUAUUCCUUAUUAAAAAAAUAGAAUGCACCAGUUGAUCAACAAAUUAAGACAUUUAGUUAGAGUUGGACUUGUAGUAGAACAAAUCCAAUGGUCUCCCUGCUAUCGUUGAUGAAGACGAGCCUCGUGGAUCGCUUGUUAUAGUCUCAUAGAGAAAAUCAUGAUAUCUGCACUUCUUGCUGGUAAUUACUUGAAUCAAAGUCAAACAGGAAAACUAUAUUACUGCACACAAAUCAAUCGCCAGUAAUUCAAUUCGUGAACAACCUAGCAAAGAAUGAAACCCCAAAGUUGAUCGUCAUUUGAAUUCCUAGCAAACAACUUGUUUCGACGCUUUUCAUUUUAUUCGUGAAUAACCUAGCAAAAAAUGAAACCGCAAAGUUGAUCGCCCUUUGGACAACCUAGAAAUAUCAUCAGCCGACGAGAAUUCCUAAAGAUCAGGACGAACAACUUGUUUAAACACUCUUAAUUUCGUAAUAAUAAGGUCGUUUGUAUGUACUUCCUCCGCCAACUCAGCGUAGGCACCUAGAUUUGUUGGUAAAUUACAUUAGCCCUAGCCCCUUGAAACACAAGAAACAAGGUGUAUGUAGCGACUACUACCGAAACCUUCAGCGGGUAGGGUACCAGAUGAUGAAUAAAUAUACGAGAGGCCAGGGGANNNNNNNNNNNNNNNNNNNNNNNNNNNNNNNNNNNNNNNNNNNNNNNNNNNNNNNNNNNNNNNNNNNNNNNNNNNNNNNNNNNNNNNNNNNNNNNNNNNNNNNNNNNNNNNNNNNNNNNNNNNNNNNNNNNNNNNNNNNNNNNNNNNNNNNNNNNNNNNNNNNNNNNNNNNNNNNNNNNNNNNNNNNNNNNNNNNNNNNNNNNNNNNNNNNNNNNNNNNNNNNNNNNNNNNNNNNNNNNNNNNNNNNNNNNNNNNNNNNNNNNNNNNNNNNNNNNNNNNNNNNNNNNNNNNNNNNNNNNNNNNNNNNNNNNNNNNNNNNNNNNNNNNNNNNNNNNNNNNNNNNNNNNNNNNNNNNNNNNNNNNNNNNNNNNNNNNNNNNNNNNNNNNNNNNNNNNNNNNNNNNNNNNNNNNNNNNNNNNNNNNNNNNNNNNNNNNNNNNNNNNNNNNNNNNNNNNNNNNNNNNNNNNNNNNNNNNNNNNNNNNNNNNNNNNNNNNNNNNNNNNNNNNNNNNNNNNNNNNNNNNNNNNNNNNNNNNNNNNNNAAAAAAAAAAAAAAAAAAACUCUCCUCAGGAAAAGGAAAAUAGAGACCAUUGUAAAAAUUUCCUUUUUGGGUAGGAAGUUGCAACGUGAACCUGAAAAUAAUAUUCGCUCCGUCUCAAAAUAAAUCUCUCCUUAAUAAUAAAGCAUCGAUGGCUUCUGUCGUUCGUCAUGACAGUUUUGCAAAAACGUCCCCCUGUUUUUUAAAUCAACUCGCGGUCCUCCAUUAAAUGGAAAAAAACGUUUUGUUUUUCAAAAAAGCCACUGUCCUCCACCGGUCCAGGGAUGGGUGGAUCCGACCUGGCUAAGGAGGAGGUCGGUCCGUCGACGGCGGCUCCGACACCGACGAGCGUCGCGGCGGUGGUCAGAGGUGGAGGCGAGGCCGAGGGGCGCGUGGGGCGGCCGGAUCCAUGGCGAGCCAGGCCGGAUCUGGCGGCGGGCGCAGCGCACCAUGCGGCGGGGCGGCGAGGCUGAAAGCGACGGCGGCGGCAACGCAGUCGCGCGAGGCGGCGGCGUCGGCACGCGGCGGUGCACGCGGCGGGUCGGCGAAGUGCGGUGGAAGGAACCGCCCGGCCGGGGCGGCAUGGUACGGCGGCUGACGGGAGGAGAGGGGAGGUGAGGCGGCGAAGGAGGAAGAGGCAGGUAGCGGCGGCGUUGCAGGUGGGCAGGGAGGAUAUCUGGGAGGGAAGGAGGCGACGACGUGCGAGCUGGAGGUUUACGGCAUCGUCGUGCGAUAGGGAGGGAGAAGCCUCGCCCCUGGACCUGGAGGAAUGGGGAAGAAGAAGGACCCAAAAUUUUCUUGGAUGCCUGGACCAUAUGAUCCUCGAUGAAGGGCCUAGAUUCUUCAUGUCAAGACGGCCUGUCAUUUACAUUCUUUUUUGUUUUCCUUUUUUUCUACUUUAAAUAAUUUGGGGCUUCAUAAAAAAUUUUGAAAAUUUAAGAAAGUGGGAAUUUUGAAUAGAAUGUUUAAUAAAUUAUAAAAUGUUUGUGGAUUCAAAAAUACUCGCAAUUUUGCAGAAAAUGUUUGAAAUUUUGAAAACAAAUAUUCAAGAAAUCAAACAAUGUUCAUGAUUUUUUUAAAGUUCAUGAAGUACUUUUUAUAAUGAAUUUGUGCAAAUUUUUGUCAAUUCUAAAAAUGAUUAUGAAUGGAAAAUAUUCUAAAAGCUCAAAGAAACAAUGGUUUGUGACUUAUAAAAUAGUUUUUCAUUCAUAAAAUGUUUGCUGAUUUAAAAAAUAAUCACCCAUUUCUUUGUCCCGUAAAAUGUUUGCUGAUUUAAAAAAUAAUCACCCAUUUCUUUGUCCCACUGCGACGCACGGACCUUUUUACUAAUGUAAUAUAAAGUUACAUUAAAAUUAAGACACUUAUCUUAAGACAUGCGGAGUAGUUCUCCGUCCAAAAUUUAUAGGCGGAUACAUCAAAUCCGACCCAUUAAAUGUCCAGAGACAUUGACCAUUUACACGUUAAAUAAUCAAUUUCAAUUAGGAAAUCUUAAAUCGCUACAAUUGCAUAUAACAUGAUACAUAAUUUAAGUGACGCUCGUGCGGCUUCGUUGUGUUCAUGUUCGGUGGGUAGCUGCGUCCUUCGAAGUGUUGCUCGAGUCGCGUGCAAGAUAGACUAGGACACUGGGCACACACUAGCUCAUGGGACUCGAGGAGCCGCCGUCUCACAUGCCCUACUCUUUCUCCUUGGAGCCUGUCGUCUUCACAUGGCAUGUGAAUGUGAGAUCGAUGACAUAUCUAUCGUGGUCUCAUGCCACGUCCACCACAAUACGGCUGCAACCCCCGGGGUUGCAGGCCAUCCAUCCAGACACUAGAGAGUGCGACUCUGCCUUGCCGAACACUGUCACAACCUCCUGCUCCCUCUUCCUUGCACCACGGGCACGUUGUCCCAUACUCUCAACCUCAACAUCGGCACACCAACAAAGGUAUUACGCGUCAUCCACGACGAUCGGACGCCAAACAAAGCGCACCGCCUCCGGCGAGGCAGCGAUGACCUGCCUCGUCAGAUCCACACACCAUUUGGGUGGAAGCGAUGGAUUCACAGCGGAUUGAGUUUCGGGGGACGCAAGAUGGCAGGGCCUACAACCUCCAGCUCCUCGAGGAGCCCGACAGGCGAAGGAGCAACUCGACUAUGGAAGGGCGAUUUCACCGAAUGCGGACGUGGCGGAGCAGGCAGCACUGCUCAGUCCUAUCGUCUCGCCCGCCAGAUCCAACUCGACCGCUUGCGGUACCACCGGUGUCAAAGGGAACUGAAGGCCACCUACAAGGAGUUUGACGAGGCGGCGAACAAGGUGUGAGGCAAGAGCGACGACCAGGAGGACAUCGCCUGCUCCGCCAAGGCCCCCCUCCCCCUCCCCCGUCGCCACGACCAUAAAGCCGACACGUUCGCGGGCACCGCCGAAGUGAUGAAGAGUAGUGCAUGAUAGGUAGCCGCUGCUCAAGCUUGAUGGAUUGAUAAUCGUCGGUCGAUUAGCCGCUCAAGCUGCAACAACGGGGGCUACUCAGAAUGAGUCGGAGAAAGUGAAGGCAAGUCCGAGAGCUUCAAUCCUCAUGGCUCAUCGCAGUCCAAUGAAGAACAGGCAUCGACGACCAUUUAGAUUAGGAAUUAAUUAUACCUUUAAAGUCGGACGAGUUCCGCUUUUAGUUGAAGUAUGUCUGAAAUGUAAUGAAUUCUAUCAUGUUUAAAUGAAAAUCGUGUUCUUUGCAUGAAUCUCUUCCAGUUUAUUUGAAAAUUCUCCCGGUUUGCACGAAUUUUGUUUGGUUAGUUCAAAUAGUUGUUGAAAUGUAUGUGUGCAUCGUUGAAUGGGGGGCUCCGGCAUCCGUCCACGAACAUGAAUUUGUGGGUCGCCGUUGGUGAUAACCUAACGAUACAUGAUGUGAUCUUGACAGAUGCAUUGUGACAUCCCUCGAUUAAGCUACAAUGAUCAUUGUAAUUAAGAUGCAGUGAUGGUCAAGAUUAAACUAAUGCUUUUGCUAAAUAGUGCUUGAUCAAUUUUAGAAUCAUAUCUCAUUCCAAAUUCCCGUUAAAAUCCAAAAUCCAAAUAAUAAGUGGAUUAAAUAUUUUGUCAAAUAUGCAAACUAAAAUCAUGGUUGGAUUGCAAAUAUUCACCUAGUAAUUAUAAAAUAUGAGCCAACAUUUUAGCAAGUAUUUUGCUGCCUCAAAAUAAUUAUAACAGAGGCCAAUUCAAUUAUUAGAUCCUCUUUUUAAUUAUGAAAAUUCCAAAUAAAUUCCAAAUGGCUGCCAAACCUUUUAUGGGAGUGCCAUAUAUUGCAAAAGGAAUAAUGAACCAGAUCCACAAUUUUACAAAAGUUAUUUUAUUACUAAAAUAAAUAAAACAUAAAACAAAUAAAAUAGAAAAAGAAAAAGAAAAGAAAUAAAACUAAAUGGCCUAAGUGCACUGUGCACUUAGGCGAGACGACCCUGCGUGGUGGCCCAGCCCUCCUACCCCCUUCUCCCUCCUCCUGCUCACUCGGGGCGACGUGUGCACGACGAUGGCCGCAUCGGCCGCCCUUGUCGCUGUGGCGCACAUCCCGCGGCUCCCCCGCACCUACAAGGUCGCCCAGAUCCCCUUGAACCCUAGCCCACCCCCACGUGUCCCCCUCGCCCCGUGCUCCUCCCCACGCUAGAACCAGUGCCACCGUUGCCAUGGUCACCCCUGCUCGUGCUCUCCUCGGCCUCCCCUUCACCUAGGACUGUGCUUGGAGCAUCGCACGCGUGAAAAGACCUCGAUGAUGCCUAGAGGGGGGGGGUGAAUAGGCUAUUUAAAAACUUCUUCAGAUUUGGCUUGAACCUAAUGCGGAAAUAAACUAAGAGGGUACUUGUCAAGCACAAAUCCUAAAUGCACUAGGCACUGCAACGUGUAUCAACAACACGAUCUACCAAGAUGGACACAAUACAGUUACUAACAAGCACAAGUAAGUUACACAAACUUACUUGAGCUAUAUCACUCGACAAGUAGGUGAACAACGCAAGAUACUAGAUCACACUAUAUCAACACAAUAUAUCAAGGGCUGCAAGUAUGAACGUGUGGAUAUAGAGGGUAUGCUUGAAUGAUUAAUCUUGUACAAGAAAUAGCCAACACAAUAUAAUGAGCACAACCAAUAUGCAAUGUAUGUAUGCUCAAAUAACACAAGUAAACCACAAGUAAGGAGUUAGGGUUAAGGAUAACCAAGGUCACUGAGACGAAGAUGUAUCCCGAUGUUCACUUCCUUGGAGGGAAGCUAGUCACCGUUAGAGAGGUGGAUGUUACCACGAAGGCACACCAACGCCACGAAGGCUCACCCUAUUCUCCCUUUGAGAUAACACCACGAAGGCGUUUCUCAACCACUAGUGGUAAGCCUUUGAGGUGGCUUCCAAACCCUCACAAACUUUUCCGGGGGAAAUCACACGAAUUGAUUCCUCUCCGAAGAACUCCUACCGCCUAGGAGUCUCCAACCUCCAAGAGUAACAAGAUCACGGGGAAUGCUCAAAACUUGCUCAAAUCACAAAUAGCUUGGGUUGAGAGAAGGAGAGGGAGACGAUCUAUCUUUUGAUUGGAACAACUCUCAAAGGGGCUCACAAAUGCUCUUGGGAUCUAAGAUUUGGAGUGAGCAAAUGUGUGUGAGGUGGAAAUGUGUUCUUAUGAGGAUAAGGCUGUGUUAGGCAACCCUCUCACGAAGUAGGAGGGGGGUAUUUAUAGUGAGGAGAGAAAAAGAGCCGUUGGGGACACUUUAAGUCACACAGGGUCCGGACGUCCGACAGUUGUCGGAAGUCCGGGCUUCCGCGAGGGGUCGGACGUCCGACAGGGGUCGGUCGUCCGAGGCGUGUAGAUACGACUGAAACCAUUUUGAAUUAAACAGCGACCGGACGUCCGACAGGGGUCGGUCGUCCGAGGCCUGUGGAUACGACUGAACCUAUGUUGAAUUUAUCAGCCACCGGACGUCCGGAGAGGACCGGAAAUCCGAGUUAUACAACUCAACUUCUACUGGUGGUAGGUUCCGGAUUUCCGACGGGUGUCGGACGUCCGGCGCUCGGACGUUCGGAGGGAGCCGGAUUUCCGAGAUAUAGAACUCAACUUCUACUGGUGCAGGCUUCCGGAUUUCCGGGACUUGGCCGGACAUCCGGGCUAGCCGGAAGUCCGAGUUAUAUGGCUCUGAUUUCUCUAGUAUAGGAUUCUGGAUUUCUGAACUAGUCGGUCGUCCGGUCCUCGGACGUCCGGAGAAAGCCGGGUGUCCGAGGCAUUGGUUCUGUUUUGAGAUAACAACAAAACAGUGGAGAUUUGGACUGAGCAGAAAGUGAUGAUGUAGUUUGAGCAAGUUCAUCGCAAAACCUGUGAUCCCCUCUUAAUAGUGCGGGAUCCCUAAGGACUCAAGAAUCAUAAAAGAGUACUGAUGAUCCAUACUUGAGUGUAUACUUUUAUUCGCUGAUCAUCACUCCGCACCACUAACGUCAAAGGAAACUGAUACCUUUGAGUUAGCCCUUUCACGUGAGCUUGAUGUUGUUGUUCCUUCUUGGCUCAAGUUGAAAGAAAGACAUGAUGAAGUCUUCAAGUAGCUUUCCCAUACACAAUGCGGAAAGCCUAGCUUAUGUAUUUAUCUUCAUUUGUCCACCAUGUGAACAUCCACAAGAAUCAAGCAUGUAGUGCUCAAGAAUGCUUAUCUUGAUCUUGUCCUUGUUAGCACAUGAGAUUGUCCUUAUCAACACAUGAUCAUUGACAAUAGUUUCAAUGAUAUAUUCGUGCUGAUCCACUUGAACUUGCACACCACAAUCUUGAUGACGAUCACCACUUGACGUCAUCCUUCAUGGGUUGUAUGAGAUCUUCCUUUUGACGCAAGCCCAAUGGAAACACACCUAACCCCCACCUAGGAGUCUCACAAAGACCAUGGGUUAGUACACAAACACGUAAUGGACAGUGCUUACCAUACCAUGGGAUCACUUGAUCCUCUCGGUACAUCUUAUACGCUUUGUGUGUUGAUCAUCUUGAUUUACUCUUAGUCUGAGAUCUUGAUCAACCUAGUGUUUCUAUGACCAUUCUUUGGAUAACACCUUGAAUAACAUCUUGGUCAACAUAUAAACUCCUUGAACCCAACAGAUGGACUUCAAGAAGUGCCUAUGGACAAAUCCUAUAAAUAUAACUUAAGGCAACCAUUAGUCUACAGGAAUUGUCAUCAAUUACCAAAACCACAUAUGGAGAUAUAUGCUCUAACAACGUGUCUUCCGCUUCGACUGGGAGGGGCUGGACGACAGGAGUUGCACUGAAGCGAGGGAUUCGAGCCAGUCUUCUUCCUUUGCCCGCUGGUCGUCGCCAGCGAAUCCGUCGACUCCGAGCUAUCCCUGGGCCCACUAAGCGCAUGUCCAGGCUCGCUGUAAGCCCGUGCUCCACUUCCUUCUCUCUCCGAGCUUGCGUGUGGCCCCUAGCCCCUUUUUUCUCCAUGGCCGAAGCUCGCCGCCGCACGAGCUCGUCGACGGGCAGCCUUCGACGACCUUUUGGUUAUGCGCUCGCCAUCACUCAGCUCUCCGCGUCGCGUAGGUCUUCCCUAGAUGCUUACGCUAGCAUGUUGUAGCGCCAUCCCCGUCGUAGCACGACCCCGGUCAUCACUAACCUCAUCGCCGGCGAUGCUAGUGUCCACCCCAGGUCCUCCCACUAGUCGGGAUGGAUGCGGGUGUGCCCGAGCUUUCGAACGAGCCCCUCCGCACGCCAAAUGACGCUCGAUCGCCGAAUCCCUACCCCUCCCAUGCCUCCGCCGUGUUGUUUGGCUCGCGAGAGCAACUCCGACGCCGCCCGCCGACGAGGUUUGACCGGGACCACCCUCAAUGCCACUGACCUGUAGCCCCCUAGCCCUAGUUGAUUGGUGGACAUGGUCAACUAUGCUGACUCGGCAGCCCGAGUGGCUGACUAGUGGGCCACCACCUCCUGGGCCAUUAACAUGUGGGCCCAUGUUUAAUUAGCCACUAAUUCAUCUAUUAAAUUAAAUAAAACAGUUAAUUUGCACUAACAGAUAAUGACAUGUGGGCCCUUGAAAUUUGACUGGAGGCGAGCCCGGAUGCAGAGAUAGAUGGAUGAAUGGUAUCAAUUUCCACUUUGAGAUUGUGUGGUCCGCCUUUCUCUACUAUGCCUUUUUCGUGAACUACUAAAUGACUCCUCUUGCUCCAAGCUCCCUUUUGUUGCCUUCUCGUUCACAUCCUCAUUCAAUUGAAACAAGCUCUGAAAUCAGUUUGUUGCCCUGCAAAGUCUUUGACCUUGGGUAUAUGAGUAGGAGACUUAGGACAGUAGCGUCGAUAGACAGUAGGGCAAGCUGUCGGAUUGACAGACAGUUAUUAGGAUAGUGGGUAAGCUACUUAGGCUAGGGAAUAGGCACACAUGGGUGAGAUACGCGGGCAAGUCUCCUGGUCACUCCUUCCAUGUCGGAGAUAUGGUUUUCUUAAAGUUAAAGCCAUAUGCUCCCAAAUCUCGGUGGCACAGCGGGCUAACCACAACCCUUCCUUCCGAUACUUUGGGCCUUACAAGAUUCUAGAUAGGUGGGGCCGAGCUGUCAGGUUUGAUCUGAGACAACUAUGUUGACUGCUGACAUCACCCUCAUGUCAUGCUGAUGCAAUAAGUGAAUUUUUUAAUUUAAAUACAUAUAUAUUAAUUUCUGAAUAUUAUUAAAACUUUGAAAAUAAAUAUAAAAUAAUCUACAAGUCAGAUGAAAAUAAUUUAGAUAUGAAAGCUGCUCAGAAAAAUCCCACGAAUCCGAAUACGAUGUCCGUGCAUCCGUCACAUGCUCCUAGCAUGAUGAACAUGAACAUUUUGUCGUGAGGAUCACUUGCCCGGUAGUAGCCAGAGACUCGGGAAAUAUCGUCGGAUAUGUUCCCGCUCCGUCCAUGACAUGUAGUACUCGUUAGCUCAUCCCUAGCACUGCAUAUUGCCAUGUCAUACAUCGUGAUGCACCUGCUUGCUUUUAUUUAUUAUUUCUGCCCCCUCUUCUCUUCAGUAGACGCUGAAGUUGAUGUUGUUGUCGGGUACGACUACCCCCCUGACGAUCAUCCUUUUGCAGCAGAGCAACAAGGCAAGCAACCCCCUUAAUCAUCCAUAUAUCGCCCGUUCUUUCUUCCUCAUGCUUGCAAUAGAUUUUGCUACUCCUAUAGAUAGCUCCUAUUCUAAUGCAUAGCUUGCUUUUGUUAAACUGUUGUUGUACCAUAUUAAAUAUUAAAUGCUUAGUAUAGGUUGAUUAGUGAUCCCCAAUGACCCCACUAGCCCAGUUGCAUGUGCUUCAUCGUCGAAGACUCGAACACUCGAUCAACUGAUCGAUAAGCCAUGACCCAUCACAUUACUUCACACUCCCCUUAGUUGCACGACUCUGCAGAGCUACUAUCGAGUACCAAGGGUGACGCCUUGUUAUGUACUCCUGAUGUUAUCUAUGUAGUGUAGUUAGCGAGAGGUGGAUUACGGAGGGUGAUUCCUCCUUCACCACCUCUGAUAACGACUAUGUCGUGCAACCCCUCAAGCAUGAACCAUCAAGGGUGAUUCCUCCCUGAUCACCUUGACGGUUAUGUCGAUUGGAAUCCGUCGAGGGUGAUACCUCGGAUUCCUCUGAUGUUAUAGACACACUGUUACUUUCACUUACUACUAGAACAUGAUGAAAUGUGUGGUGCGGGUGGAUUCCCGCGUAAUUGUGACGAGGCAUGGCCGAGCAUUCUUGGCCCUUGCCACACAUCCUCGAGACGGGGAGAUGGGACCACAUAUUGUGGAUCGCUAAUUGUCGCUGUAGUUAACAAAACAUUAAUGGGAUUGAGUAUUUGAUCUGAGUUGGUCGUUUGACCUUUUUCGCACUAACCUUCACGCGGGGCAGUUAUGGGCACUUAGUGUUGUGGUAUCGGCCGAAUCUCUUCGAACGUCAGCAAUGGAGUGGCGUGCGCCCGAGUGGUCCGUGUAAGCAUUGAUCUUGUAUAAGAGUUGACAUGACUGACCUCGACUGCCCUCGCAACAUGCAUGAGUGCAAAGGGCGAUGGGCCCAAGACCCUUGCGCUUAGGAUUUAGACCAGCGGGUUGGCUUAUCUGUUGAGCCUAGUUAGGGCUACGACAUGUUGAUCUCCCCAGGCCGGGCAUGACCUAGGAAAGUGUGUCCGACCGGAGUUUAUCGAGUGUGUUAGGAAAUGUGGUGCACCCCUACAGGGAUGAAUUGAACUAUUCGAAUAGUUGUGUCCAUGGUAAUAGUACGACUUGGAGUUGUAUCCCGAUCUAAUACAACUAGAACUGCGACUUAACUUCAAUGAUUCGCUUCGAGAUUGCUUUCUCGCAGGGAGUCGAGGAAGGAUCUUUGGGCGUGAUUUAAUAAAAUUGCUGCAACAAUAUGAUUAUAUAUGUGUUACUGAUCUGUACGCUUCUAUUGCUGCAAGACACUGAAGAUGCUAGUCUUUGAUAGGACUAGGCCUUCUCUCUAUUGUGACAUUUCUGCAGUCAGUCCAAAGAUAUAGACCCAUUCAUUUGAUAUUGAUGCAUAACUUAGCAUAGUUCUCAUGUCAGUCUUGUGAGUACUUUGGAUGAGUACUCACUAUUACUGUCGUGGUUUUGUCACGGCAGAUGUCCUCGUGAAAGGACUUAGUGAUGGAGCCAUCGCACCUUGGUGGCGACUCAAAGGGGGUGAGAAGAAGCGAGACUCAGGUUAUCCCAGGUUCGGCCCCUCCUAUGGAGGUAAAAGCUUGCGUCCUGCUUUGUGUAUAUUGAUGGUGGAUUCGAUUACAAGGAGGGUGUAACUCGCCUGACCUAGCUCUCGAUGGAUUCUAACUUAACCUAUCUGCCCUAGAGACUCGCCUUUAUAUACAGGUCGAGGCCCUAGGGUUUACAAAGUCCUGGCCACAUUACAAAUCGUGGGCUUCCAUAUCUCUAAGCCGCCGUGUCUUCCAAGCUAGGAAACCUCCUCGGCGACGUAUCUUCUCCGUUAAUCUUGAAACGCCAUCUAGCUCAUGGGCCUUGGCCGGCUCUUCAUUGAAGUUCUCGUGAUGCAUCUCAGACCCUGGGCCAAGGCCUAUCUUGAUCAUGAAUGUUGAAUCGCCGUUUACCUGACCCGGCCCAAUAGGGCGGGUCAUACCGCAGGUAAUAUCUCCAACAUUAGGCCCAAGAUUGACUUGAAUUUGUUCACACCAAUAAACCUUCACGCUUGUCUAUGGUGAUUUACACACGAUCUCUGGCCUUUCUUCUUCAUUGAGUGAUGAGCCGCCAAUCUUCAUGGAUCGCCUGAGUCGCCAGGUCUUUAUUGAUGAUGUCAUCUUCUCCACUAUUCCAGGGAUCUUGAUGACAUCACUUCCAACGAAUCUUUGUCAUAUCCUCUUAUCCCGAGAAUCUAGGCGCCAUCAUUUCUGAUUUUUAAUGUGCCUCCUUGACUCCCGCGCCUGCCAUUUCGAUUUCUGCCUUAGGUCUUUAAAUAGCCACAGGGGGGAGAGGGGCAUCCCCACCUACCUCUAUUCCAUCGCCUCCACUGCGUCUUUUUCCUCGAGCUCGUGUCGCGAACACCGUGCCGCCACCGAACCUCUGCUUUGGACCGGUUGCUCCUCGGGAUGAUCUAGGGUGUGGUCUUCGGUGUAAACCUCCGCGGCCUGCUUCCAUCGUCACCUUCCCUCGGCAGGUAACUCCUUCUCCUCUAGUAGAUCUAAAUCUCGAACCUCCCCAUUUCUCAGGGUAGCACCGAAACUCCAUGAACAUUGGCUCAUCGCACCAUCGACCCGUAUAGGAACGAUCUUUAGAUCCUUCUUUUUAGCAAACAACUGCGGUAGUCCCGUCAACAAUCCUAGGUAAAUCUGUUGUUCCCCCAUUGUUCCAACAGGACCACCACACUGCUCCAUGAUACGUCUCCAUCGUAUCUACUUUUCCAAACUAUUUUGCCCUUGUUUUGGACUAUAAUUUGCAUGAUUUGAAUGGAACUAACCUGGACUGACGCUGCUUUCAGCAAAAUUGUCUUGGUGUUAUUUUUUGUGCAGAAAUCAAAGUUCUCCAAAUGUCUUGAAAAUUUACGGGGAGCAGUUUUGGAAAAUAUAAAAAAUAUCUGCGCAAAGUUCCACCUCAGGGGGUGGGCCAGUGGCCCACAAGACAUGGCUCCGCCACCACCCCCUCGUGGCGGUGGGUAGGCUUGUGGGGCCCACACGGCUCUGCCGCCCCCAAUUCCAGCUCUAUAAGAUCCCUUUCAUCCGAGAAAAAAUAAAGAGAGAAGUUUUCGUCGCUUUUUUGAUACGGAGGCGCCGCCACCACCUGUUCUUCAUCUGGAGGGCAGAUCUGGAGUGCGUCUUGGGCUCCGGAGAGGGGAAAUUGAUGCCAUCGUCAUCAUCAACCUUCUUCCCUCUCCAAUUCCAUGAAGCUCUUCGUCGUUCGUGAGUAAUCUAUUCGUAGGCUCGUUGGGCGGUGAUAACUAGGAUGAGAUCUAUCAUGUAAUCGAGUUAGUUUUGAUGGGGAUUGAUCCCUAGUAUCCACUAUGUUCUGAGCUUGAUGUUGCUACUACUUUGCCAUGCUUAAUGCUUGUCACUAGGGCCCGAGUGCCAUGAUUUCAGAUCUGAAAUUAUUAUGUUGUCACCAAUAUAUGUGUGUUUUAGAUCCGAUAUUGUAAGUUGUAGUUACCUACUAUGCGUUAUGAUCCGGCAACCCCGGAGUGACAAUAACCGGAACCACUCACGGUGAUGACCAUAGUUUGAGGAGUUCAUGGGUUCACCAAGUGCUAAUGCGUUGGUCCGGUUCUUUAUUAAAAGGAGAACCUUAAUAUCCCGUAGUUUCCUUUUGGACCCCGCUGCCACGGGAGGGAUGGACAAUAGAUGUCAUGCAAGUUCUUUUCCCUAAGACGUAUGACGACACAUGGAAUGCAUGCAUACAUCACAUUGACGAACGGGAGCUAGCCACAUAUCUCUCCGUGUUAUAGUUGUUGCAUGAUGAAUAUCAUCCAAACAAAUCACCGACCCAUUGCCUACGAGUUUGUCCUACUGCUGCUGUUACUUGUCUUGCUCUGCUACUGCUACUACUGUUGCUACUGCUGUUACUUGUCUUGCUUUGCUGCUGCUGCCACUGCUGUUGCUACUGCUGUUACUUGUCUUUCUCUGUUGCUACUGUUGCUACUAUUGUCGCUUGCUACUGCUGUCACUACUGCUGUUCCUUGCCACUGCUAUUGCUCGUUACACUGCUACUACCUGCUACACUGUUGGUUCGCUGGCCGUUGAAGGGAAUUGACAACUUCCGUCAACGCGGCAACAGAGGCGCCAUUGAUACAAUCGUUAGGAAUAGUCUGCCGUCAACAGAUCGUUUCUGACAUCGUUGUUAUCAUACUACUUUGCUGUUACUACUGUGCUUGCAGAUACUAAUCUUUCAGGUGUGGUUGAAUCCGACAAAUUCAGCUGCUAAUACUUGAGAGUAUUCUCUCACCUCCUGCGGCUUAUCAACAAAUUGGGUCGAAUACUUUACCCUCGAAAACUGCUGCGAACCCACGCGCUGGUGGGCCAUCAACAACAUUCUUCUAGUCUCAUUACUGGGGAGUGCUUUCAGCAUUCUUCUGGUGCCGUUGCAGGAGAAGGUUUGUUGUCAUAAGCAUUCGUCUAGCUAGCGCCAGAGAUUGCAGAUCACUCCAUAGUGUCCCCGUGUUCUUAGUGCUUUUAUUUCGGCAAGUUUAUUUUCCUCAAUAGAAUCACCCGUAGACCCGUGAACUUUGUCUUGGCAUUAGAAACCUGUUUAUCCUUGAUUAGAAAUAUCCUAAGGAAAUUUUUAGAAUCACAACCCGCCCUCAAUACUGCGGCGAGUCACAAUUCCCUUUUAGACAUGCUCUCAGCUGCUGGCAUGCGAGUUACCAUUUCGUAGGUCCUGACGACCCGCCAACCCUUCUUACGCAGAUCUCCGUCCCCCUUCUUUUAAGCUCAUAAUCAUGGGUUCCAUCUCUAAGUGCAACUGGUUUCCAGCAGAAGUUGAUGAUGCCUAUGUUGCAAACUUUGUGAAAGUGGGCAAUCUUGCACCUAAAGAAACGAUCGGCCGGCGAACCGCCCUAGGAGAGCAGCGUCCACAACCCGCCGAAGGGGAGGUAGUCCUUUUUGCUCAUCACCUCGAGCGAGGCUUCACACCACCCGACUCAAAGUUUUUUAGGGAUGCCUUGCAUUUCUUCAACCUCCAUCCCCAAGACUUAGGGCCAAACUCCGUCAACAACCUUUGCCAGUUCCAAGUGUGCUGUGAGGCUUACUUGCAGAUAGAGCCUACUGUACUUUUCUUCAGGAAGUUCUUUUAUCUGAACCGCCAAACAGAGUUUGCCAACGGGCCCUGCCUAGAGCUUGGGGGAGUCAACAUCUAGCGACGACGAGAAUGCGGGUUCUCGGUUGUUACAUUGCCCAGUCAUCCCAAGGGUUGGGAAAAAACUUGGUUUUACUGCAGCGACACUUCUCCACCCAACGAGAACCCCUUACCAGGUUUCAGGGAGGAACAUCUGCCCAUGGAUUUCAAGUUGCCUGAAAAGCUAACUAAAGAAGAAGAAGCUUCAUUUGUCCUUGUCUUCGCAAAGCUCAUGGCUCUUACCGUCAAUGGUCUUACCGGGAUCGAUCUGAUCCGCUGCUGGGUGGAGUGGAGAAUCAUACCUUUGAGCCGCCGGAACGGCUUAAUGUGUGAAUCAAUGGUGACCUAAACCACCCUCAAUGCUUCUAUAAUGUGAGGCUUGAAGAAGAAGAUAUUGUUGAAAUUGUGAAGAGGCUAAGUGGUGAGCCUGUUGAGAACUGCUCCAAAAUCGGGCUAAAACCUUUGUGCGUUUCUAACCCGGCUCCACAGGUAAAACAUCCCAACUCGCCCUUCUAGCUUUUUAAUAUACUCACGCUUGUUUCUGAUCUAGGCUUUAAUUAUGUCAAUCAGAGGGGUUCGGCCUUCUGGAACCAAAGUCCCAAGACAGUCAUCAAGAAAACGACCAAACCCGCCCCGAAGAAAAACAAAAACAAAGGCAAGGCCACUGCAAAGGAGUCAUCCUUUGUGGGCGAGUCUCGGGUCGCCGAAGAACAAUCAGAGGUAAAUGCUCUUUGUCUUUAUUGCUUUAAUCUGACUUUUACUCAUGCUUUGUUGCUUAUAUUUAUAGGAUGAUGACUUUGAAAGCCAAGAUGAAGACGUCAAGGUAAUUUCCAUUUCUUCUGACUCAAACUCUUCUCCUCCCAAGCCGGCGAGAAGAAUCUGUAGGAAAGUUCCCCUGCCUCACCCGGAUGGUUAUCUCGAUCCCAUUUUCCUUUUGAAGAAAGCGAGUUUUACGCCCAAGUGUCAUACUCGAAGCCACUCCGGGGACCUUUUGUCCGUCUUGCCCGAGAAAACAACUGGUCGCAAACGACAGAACGAGGUACAUUUUCUAAAACGUCCUUUCUUCCUGUGCAAAUCAUUCUCGCGAUUUACCCAAUCGUUCAAUCCUUCAUCCAACAGGUUUCACCUCCUUCAUCUGGCGACUCAGUUGCCUCGACUCUUCCCCCAUUGAUCCGUCUUCAGGGGUAAGUUCUGUCAUUAACAUGUUCCUUCGGGUGUCCAUGUUUCUAUUUUAACAUUUGUACCAUAAUUCCAUAGGGCUCAAGCAAAGAAGAGGAAAGCCGGCGAGUCAUCUUCAGCCCCCAAGGCGGCUGAAAUAUUUGGAACGAGUACCACUAUCCCGGAAGCUCAAGACGAGCCAGCUGAGACUCAUGCUGAUGCCUUUGAUGAUUUUCUUGACAUCCCGGGACGAGCUUCCAAGUCCUCAAAAGGAGUUAACUGAAGAGCUCAACCCGCCCAGUUCUCAUAAGGCGGUUGAAGACGUGAUACCUGACCUAGAUCCAGUCGUCGUCACUCGUACUAGUUACUCUAAGCCUACAACCGCGAUUUUAACCAAGCAUGUACCCAAAGACACCUUAGUCUUUGCAAAAAAAGACAUCACAAAACUGAAGCUUCCUGAUACGUCUCCAACGUAUCUACUUUUCCGAACUCUUUUGCCCUUGUUUUGUACUCUAACUUGCAUGAUUUGAAUGGAACUAACCCGGACUAACGCUGUUUUCAGCAGAAUUGCCAUGGUGUUGUUUUUGUGCAGAAAUAAAAGUUCUGGAAUGUCCUGAAAAUUAACGGAGAAUUUUUUUGGAAUUAAUGAAAAAUACCCGUGCAAAGAUCCACCGGAGGAGGUGUGCCAGUGGGCCACAAGCCCCUGGGCCACGACCACCCCCAAGCCGCGCCAUGAGGGCUUGUGGGGCCCACGUGGCUCCACCGCCCCCAAACUCAGCUCUAUUUAUUCCGUCUCGCCCGAAAAAAAAUCAGAGAGAAGGAUUCAUCGUGUUUUACAAUACGGAGGCGCCGCCACCUCCUGUUCUUCAUCUGGAGGACAGAUUUGGAGUCCGUUCCGGGCUCCGGAGAGGGGAAAUCGUCGCCAUCGUCAUCAUCAACCUUCCUCCAUCGACGAUUCCAUGAUGCUCUUCACCGUUUGUGAGUAAUCUCAUCGUAGGCUUGCUGGACGGUGAUGAGUUGGAUGAGAUCUAUCAUGCAAUCAAGUUAGUUUUGACGGGGAUUGAUCCCUAGUAUCCACUAUGUUCUAGAUUGAUGUUGCUACUACUUGGUUAUGCUUAAUGCUUGUCACUAGGGCCCGAGUGCCAUGAUUUCAGAUCUGAACCUAUUAUGUUGUCGCCAAUAUAUGUGUGUUUUAGAUCCUAUCUUGCAAGUUGUAGUAACAUACUAUGUGUUAUGACCCGGCAGCCCCGGAGUGACAAUAGCCGGAACCACUCCCGGAGAUGACCAUAGUAUGAGGAGUUCAUGUAUUCACCACGUGUUAAUGCGUUGGUCCGGUUCUUUAUUAAAAGGAGAACCUUAAUAUCCCGUAGUUUCCAUUAGGACCCAGCUACCAUGGGAGGGAUGGACAAUAGAUGUCAUGCAAGUUCUUUUCCCUAAGCACGUAUGACUACAUACGGAAUACAUGCCUACAUUAGAUUGACGAACGAGAGCUAGUUACUUAUCUCUCCGUGUUAUAGCUGUUACAUGAUGAAUCACAUCCGGUAUACUCAUCCAUCACCGAUCCACUGCCUACGAGUCUUUUACUACUGAUCCUUGCUAUGUUACUUUGCUGCUACUACUGUCGCUACUGCUGUUACUCUGCUCUUACUUGCUACUGUUGUUACUCUGCUGUUACUUGCUACUGCUGUCACUACUGCUGUUCCUUGCUACUGCUGUCACUACUGCUGUUACUUUGCUGCUACUUGUUGCAAAACUUUUCUGGAGCCGUUGCCGGCAAAGAAUAGUUCCCCGUCCAUGUGCUAUUUACUGGCGCCAUUGAUACAACAAGUUAGGAAUAGUCUGCCGUCAACAGAUCUGUUUCUGGCACCGUUGCUAUCAUACCACUUUGCUACUGAUACUUUGCUUGCAGACACUAAUCUUUCAGGUGUGGUUGAAAUUGACAAACUCAACUGCUAAUACUUGAGAAUAUUCUUUCGCUUCCCUUUGUGUCGAAUCAAUAAAUUUGGGUUGAAUACUCUACCCUCGAAAACUGUUGCGAUCCCCUACACUUGUGGGUUAUCAAGACCAUUUUCUGGCGCCGUUGUCGGGGAAGCACAGCUAUAUUCUCUGAGUCACUUGGGAUUGACAUCUGCUGAUCACUAUGAGGAAUCCAAAAGAUCCAAGAACUGAAAUCUUGCCUUCCACUACGAGGAGAGGUAAGGAACUGCCAUCUAGCUCUGCACUUGAUUCACCUUCAGUUUUGAGUAAGUUUGCGACAUCGUCUCCUGCUAGAAAUCUUGAUAUGUCGCCUGUGCUUGAUGAUGCUACUUCUGCUACCCAUGAUGCUAUGCUUGAUACUUUGCCUGAUGAUGCUAUGCUUGAUACUAUGCCUGAUGAUGCUAUGCUUGAUACUAUGCCUGAUGAUGCCAUGCCUGAUGAUGCUAUGCUUGAUACUUUGCCUGAUGAUACUAUGCCUGAUGAUGCCAGGUCUGAAAAUCGUGAUGAAGAAAUUGAUGAAGUGAUUCACGAGGGCUCCUUGAAUGAAAAGCAUGAUUGCAAUGGUUUCACUAUAAAUUCUAUUAGUGACAAUCAUGCUAAAAAUAUGCAAAACCCUAAGCUUGGGGAUGCUAGUUCUGCUAUGUCCACUACUUGUUGCAAUGAUCGUGAUUGGGGUGAAAUUUUUUCUUAUGAUCUUGAAAAUUUGUUUAAACCUCAUGAUGAAUGUGAUAUUUGCAAUAUUAUUGAAAGUGGGUUUGGAGAAGUCAUGACUUUAGUUGAUGAUAAUCCCACUAUUUUUGAAGAGCNNNUAUUUUUGAAGAGCGUCAACUUUGCAUGCAUGUGGAUCAUGAAAAGAAUAUCCUAUGUGAUAGUUACAUUGUUGAAUUCGAAUAUGAUCCCACAUGUAAUUAUUAUGAGAGAGGAAAAUAUGAUGGUAGAAACUUUCAUAUCACUAAGUCACCUCUCGUUAUGUUGAGAUUGCUCUUGUCUCUUUCUUCUUCCUUGCAUAUGGUAACUAUUGGUUGUCUUGACAAUCUGUUUUCCUAUAAAAUGCCUAUGCAUAGGAAGUAUGUUAGACUUAGAUGUGAUUUUCACAUGCUUUAUGAUGCUCUCGUUGUGCUUCAGUUCUUGUCUUUUGUGUGAGCAUCAUUGAAUUAUCAAUGCCUAGCUAAGGGCGUUAAACAAUAGCGCUUGUUGGGAGGCAACCCAACAAAUCUAUCCUUUUUCUUUCUGUUUUGUGUUUUCCACACUUUCAUAAUUCUGUUAUGAUUGUGUUUUUUGUGUUUCUUUUGCGUUUGUGCCAAGUAAAACCGUUAUGAUUAGUCUUGGGGAUGAUCGUUUGGUCAUGCUGGAAAAGACAGAAACUUUCUGCUCACGAAAAGAAUUUUCAUUUUUUUUGUAAGAGCUUUUGAGUUGAUUCUUUUUGCUGCGGAUUUCUACGCAAAUUCUGCAGACUUUCAUAAUUUUUAAGAAUUUUGAAGUACCAGAAGUAUACGAAGUAUACAGAUUCCUACAGACUGGUCUGCUGUUAACACAUUCUAUUUUUGUUGAGUUGGUUGCUUAUUUUGAUGAAACUAUGGAUAUUAUCGAGGGGUAUUAGCCAUGGAAUAUUGAAAAAAAGUAACCCAACAUCAACAUAAGUAGAAUUUAAGUUUGCUAUAGUACCUAAGGAAGUGGUGGUUUGCUUUCUUAUACUAAUGUUAUCACGAGUUUCUGUUUAAGUUUCGUGUUGUGAAGUUUUCAAGUUUUGGGUGAAGUUCUUAUGGACAAAGAGAUAAAGAGUGGCAAGAGAUCAAGCUUGGGAAUGCCAAGGAAACCCAAGUUGAUUCAAGGAUGCCAUAAAAGCCUAAGCUUGGGGAUGCCCCGGGAAGGUAUCCCCUCUUUCGUCUUCAAUCCAUCGGUAACGUUACUUGGGGCUAUAUUUUUAUUCACCACAUGUUAUGUGUUUUGAUGGGAGCGUCAUGUAUCGUAGGAGUCUUUUAUUUUUGUUGUGUCACAAUCUUCCUUGCUGCACACCUAGAGAGAGAGACAUGCACUCACCGUGAUUUUGUCGAGCUUCACUUAUAUCCUUUGGUUAGACAAUUCAGCUCACAUGUGUUUCACUUAUAUCUUUUGAGCUAGUUGAUUUUGCUCUAUGUGUUUCACUUCUAUCUUUUAGAGCACGGAAGCGCGUGGCGUGGUAGUUGAUCUAUGCUAUGAAAGUAAUCUCAAAAGGGGUAGUUAUCCAAAGGGAUAUGAAAACUUCCACCUUCAUGUGCAUUGAGUAGUUAGAGAAGUUUGAUUCAUCUCAAUUAGUUUUGAGUUGUGGUUGUGGUAAUAUUAAAGUUAUACUAGUAAGGUGUUGUGGAUCUAGAAAUACUUGUGUUGAAGUUAGUGAUUCCCAUAGCAUGCACGUAUGGUGAACCGCUAUGUGAUGAAGUCUGAGCAUGAUUAGUUUAUUGAUUGUCAUCCUUUGUGUGGCGGUCGGGAUCACGCGAUGGUUUAUACCUACCAACCCUUCCCCUAGGAGUAUGCGUUGAAUGCUUUGUUUCAAUUACUACUAAAACUUUUGCAACAAGUAUAUGAGUUCUUCAUGACUAAUGUUGAGUCCAUGGUUUAGAUGCACUUUCACCUUCCACCAUCACUAUCUUCUUUAGUGCCGUGCAACUUUCGCCGGUGCACAAAACCCACCAUAUAGCCUCCCUCAAAACAGCCACCAUACCUACCUACUAUGGCUUUUUCAAAGCCAUUCCGAGAUAUAUUGCCAUGCAACUACCACCAUGACAUGUGCCACCACUUCUACAUUGCCAUUGCAUGAUCCUAAGAUAGCUAGCAUGAUGUUUCCAUUGAUGUCUAUGUCAUUCUAGAUCAUUGUCACGGUACACUACCAAAGGCAUUUCAUAUAGAGUCAUCAUUGCUCUAAGUUUUGAGUUGUAAGUGUGAUGAUCAUCAUUGAGGGAGCAUUGUCCCAUGUGAGGAAAUAAAAGAGGCCAAAGAGGCCCACAAAAAUAAAAAAUAUAUAUAUGUAAAAGAAUAUAAAAAAAGAGGCCAAAGAGCCCACCAAAAAAAAUGAGAGAAAAAGAGAGAAGGGACAAUGCUACUAUCUUUCCACACUUGUGCUUAUUAAGCACCAUGAUCUUCAUGAUUGAGAGUCUCUCGUUUUGUCACCACCGUAUAACUAGUGGGAAAUUUUUAUUAUAUAACUUGGCUUGUAUAUUCCAAUGAUAGGCUUCCUCAAAAUUGCCUUAGGUCUUCGUGAGCAAGCAAGUUGGAUGCAAACCCACUAGUUUUCUUUAAGAGCUUUCACAUACUAUUAGCUCUAGUGCAUCAUUUGUAUGGCAAUCCCUACUCAUUCACGUUAAUAUCUAUUGAUGAGCAUCUCCAUAGCUCGUUGAUAUGCCUAGUCAAUGUGACCAUCUUCUCCUUGUUUGCCUUGCAACCUCCACCACACUCCAUUCCACUUAUAGUGCUAAAACCAUGGCUCACGCUCAUGUAUUGCGUGAGAGUUGAAAAAGUUUGAGAAAGUAAAGGUGUGAAAACAAUUACUUGGCCAAUACCGAGGUUGUGCAUGAUUUAAAUUUGUUGUGCAAGGAUGAUAGAGCAUAGCCAUACUAUAUGAUUUUGUAGGGAUAGCUUUCUUUUUGGCCUUGUUAUUUUGAAAGUUCAUGAUUACCUUGCUAGUUUGCUUGAUGUAUUAUUGUCUCCACGUCAAUAGCAAACUAUUGUUUUGAAUCUAAUGGAUCUGAACAUUCACGUCACAUAAGAGGAGUUACAAAGGACAUCUAUGCUAGGUGGCAUGAAAGCAUCAAAAAUUCAUUCUUUUUCACUUCCCUACUUGAGGACGAGCAGGAGUUAAGCUUGGGGAUGCUUGAUACGUCUCAAACGUAUCUAUAAUUUUUGAUGGUUUCAUGCUGUUAUCUUGUCAUAUUUGGAUGUUUUAUAUACCUUUUAUAUCUUUUUUGGGACUAAAUUAUUAAUUCAGUGCCAAGUGCGAGUUCCUGUUUUUUCUUUGUUUUUGACUCUUUUCAGAUCUGAUUCUGGAACAGAGUCCAAACGGAAUAAAAUUCCCAAAAUAAAUUUUUCCAGAACAGAAGAAGAUCGGGGGACUUGAGGGCCAAGGCAGGAGGCCCACACGGAGCCUACAAGCCAUGACGCCGCGGCCAGGGGGGCGUGACUACCAGGCUUGCGGCCUCGCUGGCACUCCCCUGCCCUAGCUCUUUGGCUAUAUAUUCCCUAAAAAUCCAGAAAAAAUCGGGGUGUCCACGAAACCACUUUUCCGCCGCCGCAAGCUUCCGUUUCCGCGAGAUCUCAUCUGGAGACCCUUCCCGGUGCCCUGCCGGAGGUGACUUUGGAGUUGGAGGGCUUCUACAUCAACAUCAUCGCCUCUCCAAUGACUCGUGAGUAGUCCACUUCAGACCUACGGGUCCGUAGUUAGUAGCUAGAUGGCUUCUUCUCUCUCUUGGAUCUUCAAUACAAAGUUCUCCAUGAUCUUCAUGGAGAUCUAUUUGAUGUAAUCCUCUUUGGCGGUGUGUUUGUCGAUAUCCGAUGAAUUGUGGAUUUGUGAUCAGAUUAUCUUUGAAUUAUAUUUGAGUCUUUGUUGAUUUCUUAUAUGCAUGAUUUGAUAUCCUUGUAAGUCUCUCCGAGUCUUGGGUUUUGUUUGGCCAACUAGAUCUAUGAUUCUUGCAAUGGGAGAAGUGCUUGGUUUUGGGUUCAUACCGUGCGGUGACCUUUUCCAGUGACAGAAGGGGCAGCAAGGCACACAUCAUGUUGUUGCCAUCAAGGGUAACAAGAUGGGCUUUCAUCAUAGAUUUGAGAUUGUCCAUCUACAUCAUGUCAUCUUGCUUAAGGCAUUACUCUGUUCUUUUGAACUCAAUACACUAGAUGCAUGCUGGAUAGCGGUCGACGUGUGGAGUAAUAGUAGUAGAUGCAGAAAGUAUCGGUCUACUUGUUUUGGACGUGAUGCCUAUAGAUAUGAUCAUUGCCAUAGAUGACAUCAUGACUUUGCGCAGUUCUAUCAAUUGCUCGACAGUAAUUCAUUCACCCACCGUCUACUUGCUUUCAUGAGAGAAGCCACUAGUGAACACUACGGCCCCCGGGUCUAUUCACAACUAUCGUCUCCACUUUCACUUUUACUUUGCUUUGUUUACUUUUUUCUUUCAGUUCUCACUUUGCAAACAAUCUAUAAGGGAUUGACAACCCCUUCAUAGCGUUGGGUGCAAGCUCUUUGUGUUUGUGCAAGUACUUGUGACUUGACGUGAUCUUCCCACUCGAUCGAUACCUUGGUUCUCAAACUGAGGGAAAUACUUACCGCCGCUGUGCUACAUCACCCUUUCCGCUUCAAGGGAACACCAACGCAAGGCUCCAAGGCCGCGGGGAAAUCCUUUGAAUUUUUGCCAAGGAAGUCCCUAUAGGCGUAGCCCGUAGCAGAAGGAUUCCUGGCGCUGUUGCCAGGGAAGGUCUUUUGUUGCCGUAGCAGGCACCCCCCAGGCCGCGCCAUGAGGGCUUCUGGGGCCCACGUGGCUGCACCUCCCCAAAAAUCAGCUCUAUUUAUUCCGUCUCGCCCAGAAAAAAGUCGGAGAGAAGGAUUCAUCGCAUUUUACGAUACGGAGGCGCCGCCACCUCCUGUUCUUCAUCUGGAGGGCAGAUCUGGAGUCCAUUUCGAGCUUCGGAGAGGGGAAAUCGUCGCCAUCGUCAUCACCAACCUUCCUCUAUCGACAAUUCCAUGAUGCUCUUCACCGUUCGUGAGUAAUCUCAUCGUAGGCUUGUUGGACGGUGAUGAGUUGGAUGAGAUCUAUCAGGUAAUCGAGUUAGUUUUGACGGGGAUGGAUCCCUAGUAUCCACUAUGUUCUAGACUGAUGUUGCUACUACUUGGCUAUGCUUAAUGCUUGUCAUUAGGGCCCGAGUGCCAUGAUUUUAGAUCUGAACCUAUUAUGUUGUCGCCAAUAUAUGUGUGUUUUAGAUCCUAUCUUGCAAGUUGUAGUCACCUACUAUGUGUUAUGACCCGGCAACCCCGGAGUGACAAUAGCCGGAACCACUCCCGGAGAUGACCAUAGUAUGAGGAGUUCAUGUAUUCACCACGUGUUAAUGCGUUGGUCUGGUUCUUUAUUAAAAUGAGAACCUUAAUAUCCCGUAGUUUCCAUUAGGACCCCGCUGCCACGGGAGGGUUGGACAAUAGAUGUCAUGCAAGUUCUUUUCCCUAAGCACGUAUGACUACAUACGGAAUACAUGCCUACAUUAGAUUGACGAACGGGAGCUAGUUACUUAUCUCUAUGUGUUAUAGCUGUUACAUGAUGAAUCACAUCCGAUAUACUCAUCCAUCACCUAUCCACUGCCUCCGAGUCUUUUACUACUGGUCUUUGCUAUGUUACUUUGCUGCUACUGCUGUCGCUACUACUGUUACUCUGCUGUUACUUGCUAGUGCUGUCACUACUGCUGUUCCUUGCUACUGCUGUCACUACUGCUGUUACUUUGCUGCUACUUGUUGCAAGACUUUUCUGGAGCCGUUGCUGGGAAAGAAUAGUUCCCCGUCCACGUGCUAUUUACUAGCGCCAUUGAUACAACAAGUUAGGAAUAGUCUGUCGUCAACAGAUCUGUUUCUGACACCGUUGCUAUCAUACUACUUUGCUACUGAUACUUUGCUUGCAGACACUAAUCUUUUAGGUGUGGUUGAAAUUGACAAACUCAGCUGCUAAUACUUGAGAAUAUUCUUUCGCUUCCCUUUGUGUCAAAUCAAUACAUUUGGGUUGAAUACUCUACCCUCGAAAACUGUUGCGAUCCCCUACACUUGUGUAGCCCCCAAGGGCCGGGUCAUCUUUUUGAAAGAUGAGCCGGGUCUUUAGUUUAUACUUGAAGAAAAGCUUCAACCUAUAGCCCCCAAGGGCCGGGUCAUAUUUUUGAAAGAUGAGCCGGGUCUUUAGUCUAUACGUGAAGGAAAGCUUCAACUUGUAGCCCCCAAGGGCCGGGUCAUCUUUUUGAAAGAUGAGACGGGUCUUUAGUUUAUAUUUGAAGAAAAGCUUCAACCUGUAACCCCCAAGGGCCGGGUCAUAUUUUUAAAAGAUGAGCCGGGUCUUUAGUUUAUACUUGAGAAAAGCUUCAACCUGUAGCCCCCAAGGGCCGGGUCAUCUUUUGUAAAGAUGAGCCAGGUCUUGCUUGAAGGUAUUACCUUAGAAAAAAUGAAUCGUACAUUAGCCCCAAAGUGUCAGGGAUGUUGCUUGCAAUGGUCCUGAAACUUUCUUUCCCUGAUGUUUUUGCAGGAAUCAUUGACUCGGGCUGACUCAAUUGUGGCCGAUUUAAAACAAAGUCUGGCUGAACAGUAGUAUGCUCGAGCUAAAUUUGAAGAGAGGCUUCGCCUUGCACUCGCUGACAUGGAAAAAAUGAAGGCAGAGCACAAAGAGUUUGAAGACAAGGUCCACACCGAGCAAGCUGCCUUACUGAAAAGGGCGGAACAUGCCGAAGAGAAAAUGAAGGCCGUCAUGCAAGAGCUGUCCGGAUUAAAACAUCAUAUCUCAAAGAUGGCCCAUGCUGUGUUCGGUAAGUAUCGAUUAUUUCCUUCUGAAGGCGUAUUGUACGACCUUCCGGUGACUUAUGAUCGUGCCUCUUUACUGCAGGUCCUCGAGCCGCCACUCUUCAGAAUGAUUGUAUUUUGAAGUUGAAGGCAAUCUAUACUUUGACGGAGCAGCUGUACACUGGUAGCGUGAUGACUAUGAAGGCCGUCAUGGGUAACAAAGAGCCCAUAACAUCCAUCAAGCAUAUGCUGGGUUGUUUGUCCAUGCUGCCACCCUAGAUAGAGGAGUUGAAGAGGUCAGCCGCCCGCAAAGGAGCACUAACCGCCUUAAGUCGGUGCUUGGCCUAUGCUCCAGAGCUGAAGCUGGAAGAAAUAACUGGGGGAUUUCCAGAGGUGAAAGACGACGGGUCAGAGUUUACCGAAGAGGAUUACCAUAGUUGUGUAAAAGAAUCUCUCUUCGUGGCGACUCAGCUCGCAGCCGGCCUGGAUUUAGGCAAAUAUCAGGCGGCUUAUGAUGAGCACAGCAAACGGGUUACUCCUCCUUCAUAUGAAAUCACCAUCCUGACUCCGAAGCGCCGUAAGCAUCAUUUUGACUCUGAUGCCGAUCUGUCCACCAUCUUGACUGACGAGGAUGAGUUCCAUGCCUUGACCAAUUGCAAUUGGAAAUUGGGUGAGUUACAAAUCCAAGAUGGCGAAAGCUCGAGGCAGGAUAAUCCGGAGGCGGCUUGAGUCACGAGUGAUGUGAAGAUCACCCGUGGAAUUUAGUUUGAUCAUCCAAGGUCGGGUUAUGUCACCUGAUAUGGCCUUCUAAGCCAUGUAAUAGGCUAGAGAUUGAAACAAUAUUAUGAUAUAACUGUAUCUUGUGCUGACUUUUAAAGUCUCACCCUUUCAUUAAUAUGAAUCGCCUUGCCACGUGCUUUUGCCAUGUCUGACAGAUAAUCUCUUUCCCCGUUUAUCAGAGAAGAAAAAAUAAGCCGACUCAAUGAGUCGCGACGGUUUAGAAUGGAGUUUUUAUGAAACUCUUUGGCUAUGCUACAAAGAUACUUUGUAGUCAUAAAGGUUGUCGGCUCAAUGAGUCACGACAGGGUAGGACGAGUUUGCAAGACUCUAGUGCUACCCCAGGAAGGUUUUGCAAUAGCCUGAGUUGUUUAGACCGGCUUAUCAGGCGCGAGUCAAGCUUCGGUGAAGCAGGUUCAGUGAACCCAUGGUUUGUCUAUUUUCCAUAUGCCGGCUCCUGCUAGCACUGUGACAACCCAAGACCAACGUUCCACAAGAUUCCCCUUUAUUCCGUUUCCGUCGUGUGCUUAUUUUUAUUUGUCGCAUCAUCAUCGCAUCUUGCGCAUCAUCAGCAUUGCAUCGGCAUCCCGUUGCCGCCAGUUUUCAAACUUGUAUCCGUUGUUAGUUGCCGGUUCUCGUCGUUGUCCGUUCGGAGCCCGACCGCACUCGCACGCGCCCGCGGCAUCGCCAAAUCCUUGUUUUUAAAAGUGUGUUGAAAACUUUCUCUGGUUGGGUUGGAACUUGGAGUGCGGUCGUAAUUAGUUGUAGCUAGGCCGCCUGUCAAGCUUCGUCGCAAUCGGAGUCCGUCUAGUACCCGAACGGUCGACCGUAACGGCACUGUAUUAGGUCUAUCGUCGAACGUCUUUCAGUGUUUUAAAUCUCGUUGCCGGGCCGCCCGUUUUCCCUCUCAUCUCUGGUUAACCACUCUACAUGGCCGCUUAACCGUCCCCGCGUUCGAGAUUGUCCGAUUCCGACCGCGCGGUUGGAUCCGGGACGAAAUUUCGCUAAACCUAGCCCCCCUUUUGUCUAUAAAUAGACCCCCAUGCAUUUUAGACAACCCCUCUCCUUCCACCUCGGGAUCCGCGCCCCUCAAACUCUAACCCCAAUCUCUCUCUCCCGUGUCUCCCACCUCCAGCCGCCGGGCCCGCGGAGCCCAUGUUGGGCCCGCCCGAGCCCAUGUGGGCCCGAGGCUCCCGGAGCUCCCUGCAACCUCCUCCUCCCGAGCACCUCGCCGCUGCCUCGGUUCCGCAGGUUCGUGCCGCGCCUCCUUCCUCAACGCCGCCGGCGACCCCGCAGCCUGCCGGGGCCGGCCACCGCAGCAUCCGGCGGCUCGCCCCGCAUCAGUACCUGCCAGCCAUGGCCCCGACCUGCAAGGAGCCGCCACCGCCUGUCUUCGCCCCGCCGCCUUGGUUCCCCGCUUUGCAGCCCUGCCGGCGGUCAGAUCCGGUGGAUCUCGGCCGGAUCCGGUGACCCUUGGCAGGAUCCGGGCGCCCCUGCCCCGUUCACCUUCCCGCCGACGUUGACCUGCCAUGGUUGUCUUUGCUGCAACGUCGGGAGCCGACGAGACGACUCGCCCGAGCGCAGCGCUCCCCGCUCGCCAGCCGCGUGGGCCUCGCCCCAGCCCAGUACGACCCCGCAGCCAGGCCCAAAAACCAGCACCCCUUCGGCCCAGCUACCCCUCCCUCCAGGCCGGCCCAGGUGAGCAGCCCGAGAUCUAUCCCUCCCCAUGUGCAUGAUUGCUAUGUUACGCCUUAGUCUCGGCCCGGUUAGUUAAUUUAGGUUUUUUCCGAUUAGUUAAAAUUCCAGAAAAUAGACGUAUAUUCUAAUGCCCGUAUCUUUUAAUCCGUAAGUCGGAUCGAGGCAUGUAACAUAUGUUUCUUGUGUAGUUUCUCGCAUAGAUUACGAUUUUACAACUUUCCUAAAUGUUUGAAGUAGUUUGAACCGCCAAAUGCAUAGUUUUACGUNNNNNNNNNNNNNNNNNNNNNNNNNNNNNNNNNNNNNNNNNNNNNNNNNNNNNNNNNNNNNNNNNNNNNNNNNNNNNNNNNNNNNNNNNNNNNNNNNNNNAUUUUGAUAUGUUGUAUGUUGUUUUUCCUCUAGUGGUGUUAUGUGAACAUCGACUACAUAACACUUCACCAUAUUUGGACCUAGAGGAAGGCAUUGGAGAGUAGUAAGUAGAUGAUCGGUUGCUAGAGAGACAGAAGCUUAAACCCCAGUCUAUGCGUUGCUUCGUAAGGGGCUGAUUUGGAUCCACUAGCUUAAGGCUAUGGUUAGACGUUGUCUUAAUUCUUCUUUCCUAGUUGCGGAUGCUUGCGAGAGGGGUUAAUCAUAAGUGGGAUGCUUGUCCAAGUAAGGGCAGUACCCAAGCGCCGGUCCACCCAGAUAUCAAACUAUCAAAGUAACGAACGCGAAUCAUAUGAACAUGAUGAAACUAGCAUGACAGAAAUUCCCGUGUGUCCUCGGGAGCGUUUUUCCUCUUAUAAGACUUUGUUCAGGCUUGUCCCUUGCUACAAAGGGAUUGGGCCACCUUGCUGCACCGUUGCUACUACUUGUUACUUGUUACUUUUCGCUUGCUACGUUUCACCUCACUACACCAUCACUUGUUACCGCUACUUUCAGUGCUUGCAGUUACUACCUUACUGAAAACCGUUUAUCAGAGUCUUCUGCUCCUCGUUGGGUUUGAUACUCUUACUUAUCGAAAGGACUACGAUUGAUCCCCUAUACUUGUGGGUCAUCAUCCACCAAAUAGGGGGAGAUUGUAAGGGCAUAUUUCUGCCCGAGUAAUUUUGGUGAUUGAUGACUGUUAGAGCAUAUUUCUUCGUAUGUGGUUUUGGUAAUUGAUGACAAUCCCUAUGGACUAAUGGUUGCCUUAAGUUAUAUUCGAAGGAUUUGUCCAUAGGCACUUCUUGAAGUCCAUCUAUUGGUUUCAAGGAGUUUAAAUGAUGACCAAGGUGGUAUUCAAGGUAUUAUCCAAAGAUUGGUCAUAAAGACACAAGGUUGAUCAAGACUAAGCAAAGAGUAAAUCAAGAUGAUCAAUACACAAAGCGUACAAGAUGUACCGAGAAGGAUCAAGUGAUCCCAUGGUAUGGUAAGCAUUGUCCAUAACGCUUUUGUGUACUAACCCAUGUCUUCGUGAGAGUUUUAUGUGGGGUUAGGUGUGUUUCCAUGGGUUCGCGUCAAGAGGAAGAUCUCAUUAACCCUAUGAAGGAUGACAUCAAGUGGUGAUCGUCAUCAAGAUUGCGGUGUGCAAGUUCAAGUGGAGCAUCACGAAGAUAUCAUGCUUGAAGCUUGCCGUCCAUUGUGGUGGCAAUGGACUUGUGAAGAAUGUGUUGAAGAGUGGCUCAGCCAUAGUGAGUAUGGGGUAACAAUCAAGAAAGGCAGUUGCUGCUGGCUAUGCCUAUAGGGAUUUCCUUGGCAAGUAUGCAAAAGAUUCCCCCGCGCCCUUGGAGCCUUGCGUUGGUGUCGGUGAAUACUCAGAACAUAUGCUAUAGGUAGGCUAAAGUCGGUGAGAACCGAAGGGACAAAGGUGGGCGCUAUGAACGAGGUUGGUACACGCAUGGGACGCAUGAUGUACCCAGGUUCAAGGCACUCUGUAGACAUAAUACCCCUAAUCCUGCCGGAGUGUUUGAUGUAUAGGAACAGAGUACAAUGUCGCUCCUCGAGCUGUGUUGGGAGGAGGAAGAGGGAAGCAGCCGGCUCGUCUCUACCUCUCUCAAUGUGGUUGGUGAAUGCGUAGUGCAGAAUGACUGGUGAAGGAUCGACCCCUCUGCAUGGGGGGCGACCGGGGGGUUUUAUAGACGAACCCGCUGGCCUACAAUAUGGAUAAAGGGUACAAGCGUGGGACCCAGCUGGCUGCUUUGCCGGCUGGCCAGGGGCCCACAAGGGUCUUGUCUUGUCGACGAGGGGCUCCUCGGCUGCAUGGUCUCGAUUGCUGGUGGGACCCGCCGGCUGGCCAAUGAGGCUCUCGCGUAAGGUUGACGCUGAGCACGCGCGGUACGUCAAGCGUCGCCCCGCGAGAUUCUUCAUGGGCAGGUAGUACGAGCGCCUCCACUGUUGCCCAUGCCGAGUGCAGUAAUGGAGUGGGAGUGUGACGGUCCGACACUAUGCUAGGUGAUGGAUCAGAGCUGGGGUAGGUCAGUGGCGUGGCCGCCGACGCUCGUACCUGCCGGAUGCCCUGAUCAUGUACCUUUGCUGACGCGUAGCUACCUUUAAUCGUGAGGUCUCUUCCAGACCUACGAUCUGAUGUGACUUGUGAUCCUCAGCCGGCCAGCCUGCUUGGCCAGCCGGCUUAAGUGUGGUCGCCUCCUCCCCAGUCCGGCUGGCGGGACCAGACCGACUCCGAAGGGGAGGCUGCCAGGACUCUAGCCGGCAGGGGUUGCGUGGCACGCUAGAAAGGUGGCCGCCUCGUCCUCUAGCCGGCACGUGAUGCCUAGCCGGCCAGAAGACUUGGGCUUUGGGAAUCUUCGUACGCUCAUGUCCAUUGGGCCGGAAAUGAAGGAAUAGGCUUGAUGAGCCUACCCCGGGGUUAUCCCACCGACAUUAGUCCCCGAAGCUGGCGAGGUCCACCGCCCGCGGGGGGGGCGGCCUCACCGGCUUGUUAAUUUGUCUUGAUAUUUUGGCUGUUAUUCACGGCGAAGGACGCCGGCUUCGAAACCGGGUGGCUUCGAAGCGACGCCUCGGUCUAGUCGUAAUUGGCCCGGAGAACGCCACGUGCCAGGCCCCGCCUGGCGUAAUGAUGGCGAUUACUGCUGACGGGACCGGGCCUGGGCUCGGGGUCCCGCCAUGACACCCCCUCGGCCUCCGCGCGGGAGAUCCUCUACGGAUUUACUCCACGACGGUUGGGAUUAGGGGAGCGUUACCGCCGGUAAUACACGGGAUUAAUGGGGACCGGUGCGCACCGGAUCCCCUCCCCACGACGCUUCGUGGGGGUUUAAAUGGGACACGAGGGUUUCGAGGAGGCCAUUCGCCCCCUCUUCUCACCCUGCAUCCGCGCUCUCUUCCUCCUUGCAUCCUGAGAAGACGAGCUCGCGCCCUUCGUCUUCUUCAUCUUCGCCGUCGCGACCUCGCCGACCGCUUCGAGCUCUUACCACCCACAGCCAUGGUCGGCAGUUCCUCCUCGAAGAAGUCGUCGACCCAGAAGGCGUCCUUGCAGGGGGCCUGGCUGGGCAGCGACGUCGACGAGGGGCACAUCGAAGCGCUUCGUCACCAUCGCCUGCUGCCCCCGGCCUCCCAAGUUAUGGUGCGCCUCCCCAGCUCCGAGACCGCUCCCGCACCCGCCGCGGGAGAGGUUGUGGUCUUCGUCGAGCACUUCUACCGGGGCUUCGGGCUCCCGGCUAGCUCCUUCUUCGCCGAAUGGCUCCGGUUCUUCGGCCUGCAGCCACAUCAUCUGGCGCCGAACGCCAUACAACAGUUGGCCGCCUUCGUGGUCCUGUGCGAGGGCUUCGUGGGGAUCGAGCCUCGCGUCGAUCUGUGGCGCAGUCCAUCGCCAUGGAGAAAUCCGAGGUGGAGAAGCUCCGGGGGCCGCGCCCCAUGACGUCGUGCGGGGCGGCAUUGGUGCAUCAUCGCCUGAAGUCUGGCUUCCCCCAGAUGCCUCUGCAAGAUUCCAUCAAGCAUUGGCAGAAGGGUUUCUUCUACGUGAAGAGCGCCGGCCCAGCCCAGGACGCGCUCAACAUGCCCCCGUUCGCCAUUGCUCCCCCGACGCGGCGGAACUGGGAUGCGAAGACUCCCAGGCCGCAUCCUGAGGUGGCGCUUAUCUGUGCCCACCUCGACAUCUUGGAGAAGAGCGGCCUCCUCAGCCGCGACCUUCUCGCCACCAUGGUGGUCCACCAGGUUCUGCCUCUACAGAGGCGGCCGCAUCUGGUCUGCCAGAUGAGCGACCGGCUUGAUUCGUGCCGGCUGUCCACCAAGAGGUUUACCCCAGGCGAUGUAGUGCGAAGGGUAAACCCGAUCUCCACCGCCCGCAUGGAUAAUGGUGGGGAAUGGACAUGGGGGAUGUCCCCAUUCAACAGGGCUCACCCGCCUCUGAUGGUAGCUUUACUCCAUUCUUCUCUGUUGUUUUGUCUUGAAGCCGGUGGCGUUGCUAAGCCUUUGGUUAAAUUAUUUUUUGUAGCUGUUCGAAACCCUGCAGGGGUCCCUCCGUCAGCCUGCUCCCGAUGUGGAGGUGUCCCACGCCUCCGAGAUGGAGGACGAGGGCGUGAUGGAGCCCUGCUCAGACUCCUCCGCCGGCUCGGAAGAUCCCCUGGAGUCGGAAGGGACCGAGCCGUCUGGUGAGUACACGCGGCACACCAUAGCUGAAUGGACGGAUGACGACGAGGUAGCCUCAUUCUGUUCUGAUGCAGCCUUCGAGGAAGACUCUGAUGAGGUGGAGGAGGUCACCAUCCCACUACUGGCGCGUGGCCGGCGUCAAGGUGGCGGAGCGACCGCUGCUGACGAGGCAGCCGGGAGGAAGGGCAAGGGUGCCACAGCUUCCCGGCCGGCCUCUAAGCGGCCGGCACCGGGUCCUCCAGCCGGGCAGUGAGCAGGCGGUGCCAAGAGGCGCCGUGGCGGUGGCCGGAGGCACGUCCCUGUAGUUGCGGGGUAUGGUUUCCUCCUCUUUUCCUUCGCCCAUCUUGGAUGAGCUUUGUUCCUUAGGAGCCUUGCUUGACAGGGAGGCGAAGGAUGUAGAUGAAGACACCGCCUCCGGAGCCGAACGGGCCGGCUGGCAGCGGCUGAUGCUGCCGAGAGGGAGCUGGAGAUAGAGUCCAAGCGCCGGUGGGACACGGCUGCGGGGAAGGCCGCCAUGGGUUAGCCUCGCCCUAGCCGGGUCGAGAGGCCGGCGGAGAAGCAUGCGAAGGCUAGACAUGACUCCUCUGCACAUGCUCGUGCGGAGGAGCCAGCUAGCGAGGCCGCCUCCAGGCCGGCCCCAAGGACCGAGGGGGCCCAUCCAUCCGAACCGGCAGCCUCGGCACAGGAGGACCUGGAGACGAUCCCUGAUUCUCCCAGGGCCGAGGCGGCUCCCGACGCGCCGGAGUUAGACCUGGCAGCACCGGACGCGGCCCCUGACGCCCCAGGGGCGACCAUGGAUGCGCCGGUCGCGGCCCAUCCACCUCCUGCGGGGGAGGUAGCGCCGGUCGGGACGGCGCCCGAGCCGGUUGUCGAGCAGGCACCAGGAGCCGACGCCAUCGUCGUUCCCCAACACGGCCUUGUUGCACCAAUAGCCGGGGGCCGGCAUGGGAGCCGGCCUAUGAAGACAUGGCGGGCGGCAAACUUGGCCCGCCUGCGACUGCCCGCUGGCACCGUUCUUUCCGGCGUCCCGGAGCUGGUGACGAUGUUCUCCAGUAGCCGGUCGAAGGUGGAGCAGUCGGCCCGCGUGGUAAUGCGGCGACAUGGAGCGCCUAGAAGCCCGCACCCAGGUAGGCAUUGCCUCUUUUGGUUUUUUGUACUUCUUUUUCUCUUCUUCUUGGCGUUAGUGGGGGCGCGACAGCGCACCCACUGGGUGUAGCCCCCGAGAAUCAGGCGUGUUGAUUGCCAACCGUUCCGAAUCUCUUGGAGGCCUUUUCCCCAUGCGUAGUUUUCUUCAGUGGGGGCACGCCAGCGUACCCACUAGGUGUAGCCCCUGAGAAUCGGGCUGGUUAAGUUUUUAACCAGGUCGAAUCUUAAUUAUGCUCCCCCUUUCUCCCUUUUGGCAGGUGCUUUACGAUGCUCAGGUACAGGCGUACAACGAGCUACGGGACCAACACCUAGGGGACGAUAGCCGGAUUGCCGAGCUUGAAGCCCGGCUGGGCGAGAUCGCCGCGGAGCGUGAUGCCCUGCACGACGCCGGCGGCCGGCUCCAAGAGCAGCUGGACCUUCUUCAGGCGGAGAAGAAGGAGCUUGAGGCGGCUGGCCGGGUCGAGUUGGAGCAGCUGCGGGCCAUGCUACAGGAGAAGGAGGCCUCCUACUCUGCCGACGUGGACCGCCUCGCGUCUCUUUACCUCAAGGAGGUGGACCUCAAGGACGCCGCCUUGAGGGAGAAGGAGGAGGCCCUUGUCCAGAAGAAGACGCAGCUGGCCAAGGCUCUGGAGUCUGCGGCGACCCUCCAGGAGGAAGUCGCCCGCCUUACUCAUGAGACCGACGGCGCCUUCCAUCGUGGGUCUCUCUUCCUUGUCUUAUGUUUGGUCUUUUUGCCGUCUCCUCCUUUUGCUGUGUUCUUACGUCUUGGUUGCCGUCACUCCAGGUCUCUUCCCCGAGACCCAGAUCGCAGCCGACACCACCGUCGAGGUGUGCCGUCCGGCUGGAGUUUGGAGGAGAUUGGGGUGGGCCUUUGGGCCCGCCUGCACGCCCUGGGCGAGUCUGUGGCUCAGCUCCAGGUUGCGGGUUCGUCGAUGGUGGCGGCCUUGUGGCCGGAGGGUGUGGAGCCGGUGUCCAUGAGCCGGCUCGCCCGCUGGCUUGUGGUGGGUGGAGAGCGCCUGGAUGCCUGGCGUGCCUCCACGGCGUGGUGUGGGGCUUAUAUGGCCCUGCGCUUGGCCAAGUCAUGGUAUCGGAACCUGAACUUGGGAAAGCUGGCUGCCCAGCGCGACGGCUCGGAGGCGGAGCUGCAGGGCAUGGAGGAGGAGCUCCGUGCAAGAGCCAGCGUCGUCGCCGAGUACGCAGCCUGGGAUGACUUCGUCUUGGAGCGGGGUGAAGAUGGCGGUGUGAUCGCUGAAGAUCCGCACGGCCUUUAGCCCUAUGACGCCGACGGCAGCUCCGACAAAGCGGUCCGGGCUGUGGAAUCUGUUGCCGCCUCCAGCGGUGCGGCGUAUGCCGACUCCGGGAUUGGCGGAGCCAGGGGCCUCAGCGGGGGAGACGACACAACCACCUCGGGAGCAGCCGGAGGCGGUGAUGCUACCACAUCAGGAGCAGCAGCCGAGGCGACCAAUGAGGUCGCUGUCCCGUAACCGGUGUCCUUUUGUGUUUUUGGUUCUACCCCUGGAGGGAUGUAAUGAACGUGGGCCGUGGGCCAAUGCUUUGGUGAAUGUAUAUAUUCAGCAUUAUAUUCGUCACCAAGCGUGUUGUCUUAUGAUCCUGUCUUUUGAUUCCUGGUUGACUUCUCUUAUCCGAAGCCAUCAAGACAUAAAGAACAAGACAUAAGCCAAUCAGAGGCCGGCUUGAAUGAGAUCGUAUAUGAUCAAGCCAACCCGAGCCGGCGUCCCAAGUGUAGCCGGACUUUGCAUGUAUUCGACCUGACCUAGCGUCACUUCGCAAACCAGGCGACCGGAGCCAGCCUGCAGGCUCGUACGAAGGACCAGGGAUCAGCCGGUACACUAUGUGUCCAUUUACAAGGGCAGGCCGUCUGAGCGGCUAGCAAGCCCCCGAGCUUGUUUAAAGCAAGCAAGGGGCCGUGAUGCGUAGCCUCCGAGCUUGAUUAAGCCAGCAAGAGGUGGUACGCGGUGUAGCCCGUACACUGAGUGAAAACUCUUAAUAAAAAGAAACAUGGAGCAUGAUCUUUUUAUCGCAUUUGUUGUUCCCGGCAAUCAGAGGCCGUCUUGAGUCUUGAAUGAGAUUGUAUAUAUUAUCGAGCCAGCCUGAGCCGGCGACCCAAGUGUAGCCGGACUUUGCAUGUAUUCGACCUGACCUGGCAUCACCUCGCGAACCGAGCGACCGGAGCCAGCCCGCAGGCUCGAGCGAGGGACCAGGGAUCAGCCGGUACACUAUGUGUCCAUUUACAAGGGUGGGCCGUCCAGGCGGCUAGCGAGCCCCCGAGCCUGUUAAAGCCAGCAAGGGGCCGCGCUGCGUAGCCUCCGAGCUUGAUUAAGCCAGGAAGAGGUGGUACGCAGUGUAGCCCGUACACUGAGUGAAAACUCUCAAUAAAAAGAAACAUGGAGCAUGCUAUUUUUAUUGCCUUUGUUGUUCCCUAAGGAGGGAGGAAGAUACAUGUGCAUGCUCUCUCCUUUGCUUGACUUCUGCCUUUUAGCAAUAGAACGGGCGAAGCAACACCGUGUUCCAUGGGUGUUCCGUUUCUUGGCCGGAGUCGUCCCUUUUGCGCUUCCUUGGCUUUUGGGCGUCAAUCAGGUAGUAAGCGUUGUUCUGCAGCGCCCUGCUGAUGAUGAAGGGUCCCUCCCAGGGGGAUGAGAGCUUGUGCUGGCCGGCAGUGCGCUGGAUUCUUCGGAGGACCAAGUCUCCCUCCCUGAAAGAGAGAGGCCUGAUCUUUUUGUUGUGGUAGUAUCUCAGCUUCUGUUGGUAGAUGGCCGUCCGGCUUAAAGCCAAGUCCCAUACUUCUUCGAGGAGAUCCACACCGUCUUCUCUAGCCUCAUUCGCCUCCGUUUCUAUGUAUAGGGUGACCCGAGGCGAGUCGAACUCGACAUCCGUGGGAAUAAUAGCCUCAGACCCAUAUACCAGAAAGAAUGGAGUGAAGCCGGUCGACCGGUUGGGCGUGCUGUGGAGGCUCUAUAGCACAACCGGCAGUUCUUCAAUCCAGCAGCCGGCUGACCUGACCAGUGGUGCCACUAGCCUUGGCUUGAUGCCGGCUAGGAUCAGGCCGUUGGCCCUCUCUGCUUGGCCGUUUGACUGAGGGUGUGCCACUGAGGCCAAGUUGAGCCGGAUGCCUACCUUGGAACAGUAGAGCGCCAGGGCGCCCUUGGCAAAGUUGGUGCCAUUGUCGGUGAUGAUGCUGUGGGGAACGCCAUAUCGGACAGAGAUGUCUGUGAUGAACCUGAUAGCAGUGGGGCCGUCAAGCUUCUUGAUAGGUCUCGCUUCGAUCCACUUGGUGAACUUGUCGACGGCUACCAAAAGAUGUGUCAUCCCUCCGCGAGCCGUCUUGAAGGGCCCAACCAUGUCCAGUCCCCAGACGGCGAAUGGCCAUGACAGGGGAAUGGUUUUGAGUGCCGAAGGCGGCAUGUGGCUCUGUGCACUGAAGCGUUGGUAGCCUUCGCAUUUGUCCACCAGAUCGACGGCCUCCUCGAGGGCCGUGGGCCAGUAGAAUCCAUGGCGGAAUGCUUUGGCCACCAGGGUUCUGGAGGCGGCGUGAUGCCCACACUCCCCCUGGUGGAUGUCUCUGAGGAUCUCCUGCCCUUUUUCUAUUUCGACGCAGCGCUGGAACAUGCCGGUCGUGCUGCAUCGCACCAGUUCGCGAUUGAUGAUGGUGUAGGCGGCGGACCUGCGCUGGAUCUGUCUCGCCUCCGCCUCGUUCUGAGGAAGCUCGCCGCGAAGAAGGAAGGCCAGAAUGGCUUGAGCCCAUGAUGGAGCCGAUAGAAGGGUCGCCUCUGCUUCGUCUUGACUGUUGGAGGCUUCCGCAUCCCCUGAGCUUGAUGGUGUCUCUGGUGCUAUUACUGCAGCCGGCUCAGUCGGCUCACCAUCUACCUCCAUGACGUCCACCCACUGGGAGGAUUCGAGCCCGGACAGAGCCGGGGUUGUUGUUGUAGUUGGUGCCGUUAUUGGAGUCGGUUGGACCAAUGGAGCUGGUAUAGGAUCCGCAGCUGGCGUAGUUGGUGGAGCCGACGGUGCUUGCACCGUGGAUUCAGUCGGUGCCGCAUUUGGAGCCGGUGCCGUCAGCGCAGCCGGUGUGGGGUCCGCAGCCAGCGUAACUGGCGGAGCCAACGACGCUUGUGAGUCAGCCGGUACGAAUAUUGAUGCCGACUCGGGAGAUGGCUUGAUAGACGGCUUAUGGAGUUGCUCGAGGGAUACGCCGACUGGAAUGGCCUGUCUUGUGGAGCCGAUUUUCGCCAGUGUAUCGGCCGCCUCAUUUUCCGCCGUGGGAACGUGGUGGAACUCACAACCCUCGAAGGGGCCGCUGAGCUGCUGGAUGAGGAAGCGGUAGCUCGCCAUGUUGGCAUCCUGGCGUCCCAUUCGCCAGAGACCUGCUGCACCACCAAGUCUGAAUCGUCGAAGCAUAUGAGCCGCCGGAUGCCGAUCUCCUUGGCAAGCCGGAGGCCAUGAGCCAGUGCUUCGUACUCGGCGACGUUGUUGGAGGCGGCGAAAUGGAUCUGGAGAGCGUACUUGAGCUGGUCCCCCUUUGGAGACGUCAAGAUGAUGCCGGCUCCCAGCCCUGUCCGCAUCUUCGAGCCGUCGAAGUGCAUCCGCCAAUGCGUGGAGUCUGGAGGCGGUGGCUCGAACUGGGUCUCGGCCCAGUCGACUAAGAAGUCGGCCACCACCUGUGAUUUGAUGGUGGUGCGAGGCUCGUACCGAAUAUCAUGGUCCGCCAUGGCGAUGGACCAUUUGGCAAUUCUGCCCGUGGCAUCACGGUUACCCAUGAUCUCUGAAAGCGGAGCAGUGCUCACCACAGUGAUGGCAUGCUCUUGGAAGUAUUGCUUCAACUUCUUUGCAGCAAGGUAAACACCAUAACACAUUUUCUGAUAAUGAGGGUAGUUCUGCUUAGAGGCGGACAAGACCUCGCUAAGGUAGUAGACAGGGCGCUGCACUGGCAGGGCCUUGCCUUCCUCUUUACGCUGAACCACCAACAUUACGCUGACCACACGAGUGGUCGCCGCGAUGUAUAUGUGUAUGGGUUCCCUUUCAGAUGGGGCUGCCAAGAUUGGCAGGCUCGAGAUUACCCGCUUGAGGUCGCGGAAGGCUUCGUCCGCCUGGUCGUUCCACUCGAACUUUGUCGUCUUCUUCAUGAGCUGGUAGAGUGGAAGGGCCUUCUCGCCAAGCCGGCUGACGAACCGACUGAGGGAUGUCAAGCAGCCGGCGAACUUUUGGACGUCGAGGAUCUGAGACGGCCGCACCAUCCGCUCGAUGGUGCUGAUCUUCUCAGGGUUCGCUUCGAUGACGCGGGAGGAAAUGAAGAACCCCAAGAGUUUGCCGCCUGGGACCCCGAAGACGCACUUCUCAGGGUUGAGCCGGAUCUUGUAUUCGCGCAGAUUGGCGAAUGUCUCCCGCAGGUCGUCGAGGAGGCUGAAGUGCUGCUUUGUCUUGACGACGAUGUCAUCCACAUAGACGUGGAUGUUCUACCAAUCUGUGGCAGUAGGCACUACUGCAUGCAGCGUUGGAAGGUCGCACCUGUGUUCUUCAGUCCGAACGUCAGGGUGGUGUAGCAGUAGGCCCGAAGGGCGUGAUGAAGGAGGUCUUCAGGCGAUCAGCUGGAUCCAGCUUGAUUUGAUGGUAGCCUGAUUAAGCAUCCAAAAACGACAGUUGUUCGCAGCCUGCAGUAGAGUCGAUCACUUGAUCUAUCCUAGGCAACGCGAAAGGGUCUUUCGGACAGGCCUUAUUCAGGCUAGUGUAGUCGAUACACAUUCGCCAUGUGUUGUUCUUCUUCAGCACCAGGACUGGGUUCGCCAGCCAGUCCGGGUGGAAAACCUCCAUGAUGAAGCCGGCUGCAAGGAGCCGGGUGAUCUCUUCUCCGAUUGUGCGCCGCUUCCCCUCGGCGAAGUGGCGCAAAGGUUGUUUCACCGGCUUUGCAUCUAGUCGCACGUGAAGUUUGUGCUCGGCAUACUUCCUUGGAACACCCGGCAUGUCCUUGGGGGACCAUGCAAAGAUGUCCCGAUUCUCACAGAGGAAGUCAACGAGCUCGCCUUCCUAUUUGGGGCUGAGGUCAGCCCCGAUGGUGACGCACUGCUUCGGGUUGGCAGGGUCGAGUGGGACCUGCUUGGUCUCUUUAGCCGGCUUGAAAGAGCCCUCGCCGGCCGAUUGGGACGGAAAAGGGAUCGUCGGCUGCUCGGUAGCCUCGGCCACGAGCCGGUCGAUCUGCCGCUUCUCCUCAGCUAUCACCAAGGCGUCAGCGAGGCGGCUGCUAUCUUGGGCACACUUGAGCGACUUCUUGUAGUCGCCAACAAUAGUGAUGAUGCCCUUGGGACCCGGCAUCUUCAUCUUUAGGUAGGCGUAGUGCGGAAUAGCCAUGAACUUGGCCAGAGCCGGUCUUCCCAGAAGCGCGUGAUACGGGCUACUGAGGUCCACUACCUCGAACCAUAUGGACUCUCGGCGGAAGUGGGCCUUGUCACCGAAGAGGACGUCCAGCUAGAUCUUGCCGAUGGGAGAGCAUGACUGCCCAGGCACGAUGCCAUGGAAGACAGUGCUAGUUGGCAGGACGUCCGUCUCCUUGAGCCCGAGCUUGAGGAGGGUGUCGAGGUAGAGGAUGUUGAUGCUGUUGCCGCCAUCGACCAGCACCCGGGAGAAUCGGCAGGUGAGCCUUUUGGAGACGAAGGUGGGGUCGAGGACGAGUGCGUAUGAUCCCGGGUUGGGCAUCACCGUAGGAUGGUCCACCCGGCUCCAUGUGAUUGGUUUGUCAGACCAAUGCAUGUAUUGGGGAACCGGGGAGACAGUGGUGUUUACCUCGCGCCGUCUUUGGCGCAGGCUGUGCUUGUCGUCGCCUUCGCUGGUAAAGACGACGAACGCUCCGUCUUGAUGAGGAUAGUCGUCGGGGUGAUGACCGUCAUCACGAGGCGGCGGUGGCAGAGGCGGAGCAUGGUUGGGAGGUGGUGCACGGGGCGCCGCCUGCGCACCCGGAGGAGCCAGCAUGCCAUCCCCUUGCGGCAGCCGGCGUGCGACGCUGCACUGUCGAAGGGUAUGGGUAGACGGCGUCGCCCUAGAAUGUAUCUUGCAGGGGGCAUCGAGCAGCUGCUCGAGGGACUGCCUGGGCAGCCAGUUGGGGUUGCUCCGGUUGGGACGCUUUCGUGGAGGGCCGGCUAGAGAAGCCGACGCCUCGCCCUCCACAUUAGCCACCAGCUUGCUGUUGGAGCGGGGAUCCAUCUGAUCCGCCUUGCGCUUGUAGUUGUUCUGGCCGCCUCGAUUGUCCCCAGCCGGCUUGGGAGUAGCCGGCAUGGGCACAACCUUGUCCGAGGCGGUUACCUUGAUGCGCAUCGCGGAGUCGGCCGUGGCGUACUUGUCUGCCUUGGCCAUGAGCACCACCAAAGAGGUGGGCUCGGCGCACAUGAGCUUGUGCUUGAGGAGGGUGCCGUCUCGGCAUCCAUCAAUGAAGUACUGGAUGGCUUGUACCUCAUGCACCCCCUCACAGGAGUUGUGGAGCUCAGUCCAUCGGGUGACGUAGUCGUGAGGGUAUGGGUGGACGAACGCCUCCUCGAAGUCCACCCAGGAGUUGACACUGCCGGCCGGGAGGCUGUUAAGCCAGGUCCGGGCCGAGCCGGCCAACAUGAGUGGCACGUAACGAACUGCUACACGCUUGUUGCCCCGGGCGAUGCCUACGGCCGUGGUGUAAUCAAUCAGCCAGUCUUCUGGCUUGGCCGUGCCGUUGUACUUCGGCGUAUCCUGAGGUAGAGUGAAACCUCGCGGAAACGGCUCCCCUCGGAUCCGAGGGCCGAAGCAUGCCGGACCGACGGGUCCGUCUUCCUCUAGGAGGGCUGACUGGGCCAGGACGAUGAGACGCCGGCGGGCGUCCCGCUCAUCCUGGGUGGCGUGGGCGCCAGCCCCGGUGGCGAGAGGGGAGGCGCCUCGUGAGCCAGAGACGUGAGUUCUUCGCGGGGGAAGAUCCCCGCACUCCGAGUCGCCUUCGUCGCCUCCGCGACGCAAGCCCGAAGUGUGCUCGCUCUGGUGCUGAGAGCGUUGGUCUUGGCUUCCCUCGCCCCUCCGGCCGGAAGUGCGAUGCGAGGAAGAUCCUUCUGCGUGGUGCUGGCCGCUAGGGUUGCGGCGUGCCCCCGAGUUCGGUCCCGGGGACUCCGAUUGAGCCUGACCGGGGUCAAGCGGAGCGUGUUGCUAGUUGGCAGCAUCAAGGAGAUCCUUGACACGCUUCUCCUGGAAGGCGCGCUCCUCGCCUUCCAGGCUUGCCAUCUCCUCCAUGGCUACCUGCGCCGCCCGCAUGUUGGCCAUAGGAGUCUCGUAGGUGGGAAGAUCACCGCCUAGAACCUCGGCGAUGAACCGGCCGCGGCUGCGGACCGAUCCAAGCCGGCUAAGGGCUUCGGAAAUUGGAGUGAGACCGUAUGCGGAGUUAUACUCGCGCUGCGUAGCCUCCAACCGAUGUUUCACCGAAGCUACGGCGAUGCCCUCCUCCAAGAUACGCUUGCAAGCCUCCUCCAGCGAGGCCCAAGUGUCUGCAGGGUCGGCGGCAGUGGUGACAGGUGUCUUCAGGCCGGCGAUGGUGUCUCGAAGAGUAUCAGCGGUGGCCGCAGCGGGCUCGCCGGCGCCUGCGAAGGCCUUGCCAGGAGCCGUGCUGGUGCCAGCACCGAUAACCAUCACCUCCACGGUGUUGGAGACGGCAGCAACGUGGUAGGGGGUGAAGAACCCCACCGACGGCGGGGGGGGGGGGGGGGGGGAAGANCCGGGGGGGGGGGGGGGGGGGGGCGUCGAAGAUGAGGACGUUGCUAGGGUAAACAUCGUGGGCACGCGUCUCAGCGAUAGAGAGCCUGCUGAAGCUGGCGCAGAGCGCCUCAACAUCGAAGUCCUCACCGAAGUAGCGCGGGCCGUCGUUGAGGCGAAGGUCGCUGAAGAGAACACUCAGGUUCUUCAUAGCAGCGACGACGACGCUAGGGAGCGCCUCGUCAUCAGAGUCUUCAUCCGAAUCCGCAUGGCGGACGGGGACGUCGAUCAUCAUGGGUGUUGCCUCGUCGAAAGCGGGCUCCACGAGCAUGCAAACUGAUCCGGACGCGAUGCAUCCGGUGGUGUAGGUGCGGGGCCCCGCCCAGCGCGUAAAGCCAGCAGAUGGCGCGAUCGGCCCCAUGGUGAGCGCCAAAUGUCGGUGAAUACUCACAACAUAUGCCAUAGGUAGGCUAAAGUCGGUGAGAACCGAAGGGACAAAGGUGGGCACUGGGAACGAGGUUGGUACACGCAUGGGACGCACGAUGUACCCAGGUUCAGGGCUCUUCGUAGAGAUAAUACCCCUAAUCCUGCCGGAGUGUUUGAUGUAUAGGAAUAGAGUACAAUGUCGCUCCUGGAGCUGUGUUGGGAGGAGGAAGAGGGGAGCAGCUGGCUCGUCUCUACCUCUCUCUAUGUGGUUGGAGAAUGCGUAGUGCAGAAUGACUGGUGAAGGACCGGCCCCUUUGCAUGGGGGGCGACCGGGGGGUUUAUAGACGAACCCGCCGGCCUACAAUAUGGAUAAAGGGUACAAGCGUGGGACCCGGCUGGCUGCUUCGCCGGCUGGCCAAGGGCCCACAAGGGUCUUGUCUUGUCGACGAGGGGCCCGCCGGCUGCAUGGUCUCGAUUGCUGGUGGGACCCGCCGGCUGGCCAAUGAGGCUCUCGCGUAAGGUUGACACUGAGCACGCGUGGUACGUCAAGCGUCGCCCCGCGAGAUUCUUCAUGGGUAGGUAGUAUGACCGCCUCCACUGUUCCCCAUGCCGAGUGCAGUAAUGGAGUGGGAGUGUGAUGGUCCGACACUAUGCUAGGUGAUGGAUCAGAGCCGGGGUAGGUCAGCGGCGUGGCCGCCGACGCUCGUACCUGCCGGACGCCCUGAUCCUGUACCUCUCCUGACGUGUAGCUACCUUUAAUCGUGAGGUCUCUUCCUGACCUACGAUCUGAUGUGACUUGUGAUCCUGAGCCGGCCAGCCUGCUUGGCCAGCCGGCUUAAGUGUGGCCGCCUCCUCCCCAGUCCGGCUGGCGGGACCAGACCGGCUCCGAAGGGGCGGCUGCCAGGACUCUAGCCGGCAGGGGUUGCCUGGCCGGCUAGAAAGGUGGCCGCCUCGUCCUCUAGCGGGCAGGUGAUGCCUAGCCGGCCAGAAGACUUGGGCUUUGGGAAUCUUCGUACGCUCAUAUCCAUUGGGCCGGAAAUGAAGGAAUAGGCUUGAUGAGCCUACCCCGGGGUUAUCCCCCCGACAUUGGUGUUCCCUUGAAGAGGAAAGGGUGAUGUAGCACAGCGGCGGCAAGUAUUUCCCUUGGUUUGAGAACCAAGGUAUCAAUCCAGUAGGAGGAUCGCGUCAAGUCACAAGUACCUGCACAAACACAAAG